GCCUAAAAACCUAGGGACUCUAAGGAGCUAACGAUCGGCCGCUGGAACCAAACGACAAACCCCAUUGAAGUCCAUCGACUUUUUCAUUCCAACAGCAGUUAUCUCCAUCAACCUUGCACCGAAAAUUCCUCAAUCUCGCCGGAAAUUCGACCACCGUUAACAUACGCACACACUCACGUUUCUCGGACGAAAAAUAAGAAAAAUGCACACACAAGAAUUCUGCUUCCUUUUAAUUUCGAUUUUGGUGUUCCAAAAAUGGAGAUUAAAUUGAGGUUUGAAGUCCGGUUUUGAGGUCAUCACUGUCCAUCGAGGUCCGAUGCGUCGAUGUCAUAUGGCAAGGAAGAAAAUCGAUCUUAGAUCUGCUUUGCCCAAGUAACUCUCAUUUUUUUACUAUUCCUAUACUGUGUUAAUGAUCUCCUUACUGUCUAAUUGUAAUGUAAAUUUUCGUUAAUUAGUUUCUGUAUUGGUUUUUGCAAAUGGAGUUCGAUCUGUGCGUCUUUUCUUUUUCUUGUUGUAUGACUAGUUAACCUCGAAUCUGCUGUCCCGUGCUUCCUCUUCUAUUCGUUACUACGUUCUUAUUCGCUAUUUUGUGUAAAUCCGACCGUUAAAAGUUGACUUAUUUCAUAGUUUUUUAUGAUUGACUUAUUCGUAUCUAGGUGUCGAUUUCGAUCCGCAUUUUUCUGCCUAUUCUUGUAUUGAGUUGCAUCACAAUGCAUUCUCGUAUUUAACUUCACGGAUGUUAUGGAGAAUCUGAUGAACUUGGGAACAAACUUGUUAAUGUGAUGUGGAAGGUACUCCUCGUCUUCUGCUUGAAAUUUAGUGAACACCAUGUGUGCUCAUAUUUAACUUAAUGCACGUCAGGGAGAAUCUGAUGAACUUGUUUACCAAGUAAAGUUGGUUUUCUAUUCGAAAUAGAACGAGGCUCAAGAUUUGGCAUAAUAAGUAUUUGCUAGGACUUGUGCUCAAGAAGAGAAACUCAACGUAUCUGUAUCGCCUAAUUCCGAUCCUAAUGAUUGGGGAAUGCUACCUAUGCAAACUAUGAAUAGUUCUGAUGGUUGAGAUUCUUAUUCUUGGGGUUUUCUUAGUUGAGGCUAAUGAAAUUGAUGCUGUGAUUUUACAAAAAAUGAUGUUAUGUGUUGGUUUGGAAGUAUUUCUAUCAUUGUGGCUAUGGGUACGGUUCCCGUGGCAUGGUCGCGAUACAUAAUUCCAUAUUCGGGUGUGCAUUUCAUGUGACCUGAUUCUAAUUUCCAACGAGGUUGAAUAGAACGUGUCAUGACUCACGGGUGCAUUUCAUGUAGCGUGGCUUGCGACGUGUUUUAAACAACCUUGAAAUAAUUCCUUAAAUAAAUAAAAGUGGUUUUAAAGUUAAAAAUUCACAUAGGUUUAAAAGUAUUUAAAAUCGGAUAAUUAGGCCAAUAAUAAUAGUUGAGUGACCGUGCUAGAACCACGGAACACGGGAAUGCCUAACACCUUCUCCUGAGUUAAUAGAAUUCCUUACCCGGAUUUCUGUGUUCGCGGACUAUAAAACAGAGUCAAUCUUUCCUCGAUUCGGGAUUUGAACCGGUGACUUGGGACACCAUAAUUAUCUCAAGUGGCAACUCUGAUUUUAAAUAAAUAAUUCCGUUUCGAUUGUCACUUAAAUUGGAAAAAUACUCCCUUAUAUAUCCCUCGGGGUGUAAAAAGGAGGUGUGACAUUUGUUUUCUUGUAAAAAAAAUUAAAAAGAUUAAAGACAAGGAUGUUUACUUUCUUGAUGAAAUCAUACCCUUGGCUUAUGUCAAGGUUGUUAUUCUCUAUUUCCUUUUUGUUCCUUUUUCAUGAUUUUAUUUUCAUUAGAUAGCAAGUUGAGAUAUUUAAUGUUGUGCCAAUUAGUGCUCGUUAAAUAUAUAGUAUUGAAGAUUGAGGCACAGUCGAGUCAUGUGUACGGUUAUUUGAAGAUUCAAAUUUAACUUUUCGUGGUAAACAUAAGCUGCUAUAUGAAAAGUUCAAUAAACAUUGGUUUAAAACAACUAACAAAGUUUUCAAGCCUGUAUAAAGUUACUGCACCGAAAAUGUGAUAUUGCUAUGGAGACGUAAGUAAACUAAUGAUAGUAGUGUUUGACCAAAAAGUAUAACUUUCGGUUAAAUCUUUAUAUUUAUAUAAUGAUGGGUUAAACCUAGUUAAUAAUAAUAUUUUUAAACGUAAAACUUAAAAAUAUGAAUAAUAUAGGGUUGACCCAGUGGGGAGUUAAUGACAUUGUGCAUUAAAUAUUCCAAAACUAUGAGCAAUAAUGGAGAAAUAACUAGCAAUAAAUAACAAUAAAUGUGUGACGACCCGACUGGUAGUUUUGAGUAUCUGCACUUCGCUCGGUGUUUUGAGGGCUCGAGUAUCUCCGCAUGAGGUAAUAUGACUUGCGUUAAUCGUCGGCAUUGAUUUUCGAGUUAUCCGGAAUCAAUUUGGAAGAAUGAACUUCGAGAGUUGAGUACUAAGUUGGAAGAGUUGACCAAGUUUGACUUUUAGCAUUUGACCUCGUAAUGGAGUUUCGUCAGUUCCGUUAGCUUCGUUGGGUAAUUUUGGACUUAGGAGCGCGUCCGGAUUGUGAUUGGGAGGUCCGUAGUUGAAUUUGGCUCGAAAUGGCAAAAGUUGGAUUUUUAGGAAGUUUGACCGGGAGUGGACUUUUUGAUAUCGGGGUCGGAUUUCAAUUUCGGAAGUUGAAAUAGGUCCGUAAUGUCAAAAGUGACUUGUGUACGAAAUUUGAGGUCAAUCGGAGGUGAUUUGGUAGGUUUCGGCAUCGGUUGUGGAAGUUGACGUUUCAAAGUUUAUUGAUUUCAACUUGAGGUGUGAUUCAUCAUUUCGAGGUUGUUAUGCGUGAUUUGAAGCUUCGAGUAGAGUCGUCUUAUCAUAUGGAUCUUUUCUGCAAAAUUUGGCGUCAUUCGUAGUUGAUUUGAUAUGGUUUGGACGCCCGGUUGUGAUUCUAGAAGUUCUUGAAGUCUAAUUUGAUUUGCAUGCAUUUUGGCGUCCAAUUCGUGGUUGUAGAAGUUAUUUUGAUGAUUUGAGCGUGCGAGUGAGUUCGGGUUAUGUUUUUACACUUGUGUGCAUAUUUGAUUUGGAGCCCCGAGGGCUCGGGUGAGUUUCAGAUUUUUUUUCGGAAUGUUAUUGCAUAGUUUUUAAUUGCUGGUUCGGGUAUUUUUGCAUUUGCGAGGUUUUGAUCGCAAAUGCGGCCAUCACAUUUCCGAAGAAACUCCGCAUUUUGCGAAGCCUGGGUGACUGGGCAGUUUUCGCAUUUGCGAUGAACCAGCCACAUUUGCGAAGGCUGGUCUUCGCAUUUGCGAAGUUUUCUGUUGCAAAUGCGAUCUCAGCAGGCAUCCUUCAGGUUCGCAAUUGUGAUGUAUUCUUCGCACUUGAGGGUUCGCAAAUAGCAAAUAUCUGCAACCUGAUAAGUGUUGAGAAUUCUGAGUUUUUACUUCAUUUUUCACAUUUUUGAACCCUAGCUUCGAGGCGAGGCGAUUUUGAGAGGGGAUUUUCAUACCAAAUCAUUGGGUAAGUAUCUUUAAUCAAUUUCCAACUAUAUUUCAUAAUUUUCUACAAGAUUUAACAUCAAAUUCAUGGGAAAUCUAUGGAAAAAUUUGGAGAUUUUGUCAAAGUUUUGAAAAAUAAAAAUUUGAGAUUUAAGAGUUGAAUAAGAUUCAGAUUUUAAAAUAAAACACAUAUUUGGACUCGUGAGGCUAUGGGUAGUCAAGACCUACCCUUGGACCCGGGUUUUGACCGGGCGGGCUCGUGGUUUGACUUUUGUUGACUUAUUAAAAAUUGAAUGGAAAUCAUAGCUUUAUUAAUUGGAAUUGUUUUCUCUUGCAUUGUGUGGUGUAUUCAAGUCGUCAUUGGUUAGAUUGAGUUUAGCGGAGGCGAAUUUAUAGAGGAAAAGGCUAAGUUGGGUGUUGAGUUAGCCGAAUCGAGGUAAAUAUUUUGCCUAACUUUGUUGAGGGAAUUUUUCCUCCUAUUUGUCAUUGUUUGCUACAUGCGGGGGUGAUACAUAUAUGAGGUGACGAGCGUAUAUAUAUGUGACAGGGUUAAUCAUGCGUGGGGGGUGGAUUAUGUUAUAUUUGUGUUUGUAGAAUUUUGUGACACUCUGCUUAAUGCCUUAUUUGAUUCUUAGAUAGUAAGGGCAUAAUAUUAAAUGAUAAAUAUCAAGAUUUAGUUUGUUAUAACUUGAUCGAACUUGAUGGAAAUUAUAAGAAUACAUUGAUGUGUCUAAUUCAGUCAUCUCUAUGUGAAAUUAUUACUACAUUACUACAACCGAUAUUCUUGGGAUGUUAGACUAUAUACUUGUGUUGUGGAUCAUUUAUGAGACACAUAGAAAUAUUUGAAUAAUAUGGUUCUUGAGAGUUGUUUAAUCAUUGUUGACUUGGAAAGUUGUGAUUGGGAAUUGUCUGGAUUAUCCAUUAAAACACUCUCCUUGAUGUCAAUUAUACUUCCUGCCUUGUUUGUUACUGUUAUUUAUAUGCUUGGUAAGGAAGAGUGUAAAGCACGAAGGGUGAUACCGUGCCAUUAUUUAUACAUUAUCAUAUGAGGGAGAGUGUAAAGCACGAAGGGUGAUGUCGUGCCAUAUCAUUUGAGAGUAAAAGCAUGAAGGGUGAUGUCGUGCCAUAUUAUUGAGAGUAAAACCACAGAGGGUGAUGUCGUGCCAUAUUAUUGAGAGUAAAAGCACGAAGGUUGAUGCCAUGCCAUAUCAUUUGAGAGUAAAAACAUGAAUAAUGAUGCCGUGCCAUUUCAUUUAUGUUAUUAUGCUUGUAUGUUAUUGUGAGGUUAUGGCACAAAGGGUGUUUCCGUGCAGGUGAGGACGAGGGACAUGCAUUAUGAUGUGAUAUCCGUUUCCCCGUGUAUAUGUUUGUGCCUUUACUUUGAGCUGUUAUUGUUGUGAUUACAUAUUUUGUGUGACUUGUUGUUAUUGUCAUGUAUUUGACCUUUAUCUCAAUUGUUGUUGCACUAUCCAUGUCUUUUUCUUGCUUAAUUUGCGAACACUGUGCCUAUUUCCUACUUUUACAUUUAUACUCAUGUUGUAUCUAUUUUGUUGCACUUUAGAUUAAGCCUUCCACCAUGCUAGCCAUUCAUGCCUUUACUUGUCAACUUGUAAAGAUCAAGUGUUUCCUUCUUAAUUAUUAUAUUUGCACAAAGGCCUCCAAUAUGCUAGUUAAUUGAAGUUGAUAUUCCUUGUUUUUCGAUUGUUGAUAUUACUCACGUGCUUUCCGUUUAGCCCUUUUACUAUGACCCACAUGUGUAUCCUUGUCCUUUGUUGUUACUUGCAUAUUUCCUACUUUGUAAUUCCUAUUAUUGUGUUCAUGUUAUAUGGUUGGUUUUGUUAUACGUUUAUCUGGAAAGAUGAGUUGAUCGCACGAAGGAUAUUGUCGUGCUAAUUGAAUUAUUACAUAAACUUAUUAAUACAUGGUGAGAAGGAGAUAAAAGCACGAAAGGUGUUACCGUGCCAUAUGAUUUGACAUUUUGACAUUUUGGGCAUGCAUCUCAUACCAGGAAAUACCAUAAAUAUCCCUCUGUGGUUCCUAUUAGUAGUUAUUGACUGUCUUGCCGAGUUGUUUAUGAUACUUUUAUCUGUUAUGUUUUGAACUGCUUUACAGUUAAUCCAUUGUACAAGUUAUAUUAAUAAGCAUCUUUUUAACUAAAAGCCUCAUCACUACUUCGACGUGGUUAGAUAAAGUACAUGGAGUCGGUUGUACUGAUACUGCACUUUUGCACGUUUCAUGUAGAUUUUCGGAGUAGAGCUGCUGGUGACGUCGGGUGCUGAUUCAGAAAAUGUUCGUGCAUUUGGUUGAAGCUGCCACUUUUCCUUGGUAGUUUUUGACAUUUUUAAUCUAUUUUUGUAAUUUUCAAACAGAUCGUGGGAUAAUUUGUACUAGCUUUGUAAAUCCUAAAUUCUAGAUGCUCCUGACUUUUAAUACCAGUUCUUAGGUAAGUUUGUAAAAGUUCUGAUAAAUCCUAACUUCAUUUUUAUACAAGUUAUUUGGUUUGUUUCUUAUGUUAAUUGGCUUACCUAACGGGUCAAGUUAGGUGCCAUCAUGACCUGUGAUUUUGGGUUGUGAUAAGGUGGUAUCAGAGUACUAGGUUCGUAGGUUCUACGAGUCAUGAACAAGUGUCUAGUAGAUUCCUGUGGAUCGGUAUGAUGACGUCCAUACCUAUCAUCGGGAGGCUAUAGGGCAUUUAAGAAAAAAUUUCCCUUCCUUCUUUUCUUAUCGUGCGGCUUUUCUUUUGCUUGAAAUCUACAACUUUGACUUUUCCCGAUCACUCAUAUAUGAUGUUGUGCGCUUGAUAUUCGCUAUAUGCUAACGAUCGGUGAUGCUGUAGAUGGAUUACAAUGGUCUAUGGGUGCUUGAUUAUCAACGCAAUGCGUUUUCCAGCCUCAGAAGCAAAUGUAAUGUUAAAUCUUCUAGUCAUUCGUUUGUGGUAGGAGGCAGGUUCAUAUGUCUGGUUGGUAAGCACAAAUUUGGAAAGAUUGGUUGGUGGCCAGGCUAUUGUGAUUAAGGUGAGUUCAUGGUAAGGAAUCGAUUUGAGUAUAACCGAUGGGACAUCUCUUACAUGAUGAGUUUGGAUCGUGCGGCUUGUAUGAGGUUUCCAUUUGGUGGAGUGCAUAUGUUAUCAUUUCAGAGCAUUUGGGAAAGUUGGUGACUAUUGCAAUGAUGGGCAAGCGUUUGGCAGAAUCUUCAGGGUGUUCUAUGGCUUCAAGCUAAGUGGCCGAGGCUGCUAAUGACGAUCGGAUUGUAGGAUCAUGGGCCGUAUCAGUUUCCAAACCGAGAGCUUUCAUGUUUAUUUCUUUGAAUGGGCAUAUGCUGGUGAAGCAUGGGUUGCUCAACGCGUAUUAGCUGCGCAUUGAAGAUCAGAAUAAGAUGAGUGGAUUUAAGGACUUUUGAAUUUGUCUACGGAGCAGUGAAUGGUAAUCAGAUUCACGGUAUUUCCUUGUCAAGAAAGUUCUACAAGUCAAUAUUGGGGUGAUGCAAGAAAUGGCUUCGGGUUCCCAGGAAGUUCCCUUAGGGCGGGCAUAUUGGAUUGAGUUUCUUUCGGGUUGGCAGUCUGCGUAACUUAGUUGAGGUAGAGGUGAUUGGUUCUUAUUCCUCGAUUAUGUGUUAAUGAGUUCCGAAGAAUUUACGAUGGUUAUGACCAUGGACGGGGUUGAUGUUUUCUACAGGUAUAGAGGCUAUAUUGCUUGUGGUGGUGUUUUCCUAGAUUGGGCUAAAUGAAAGAUUCCCGGUUGAUGAGGUGUUCAAUUUUCUUAUGGUUUAGAGUUGGCUAUAAGAUUUUUGUAGUGUUGCGAGUUAGCAUGUUAGAGACGAUGUGCCAUAUGGGGAAUGAGAAGUUACAUGUGCAAGGUUGCCGUUUAGGUUUGGAGGGAAGGAUACGAGUUCUUGAUAUCUCAGACAACUUCGGGUGUUUGAGGUCUUGUUGGCACUAUGGGUUCCCUCGAAGUAGAGUUCGCCUAUUGGAGGAUACAAUGUAUUUUGACUUAUGGGUGUUUCUUCGUGAGAUGAUGAAGUAUGAAUUACACGACAGCUAUUUGAGUAGCGGUGUUGAUAUUGGGUGUUACACCUCCUUUUUCCUACCCACCCGUAAGGGAUAUAAAGGAGUUUUUCCAAUUAAAGGACAAUCGAAACGGGAUUGUUUAUUAAGAAAUUUAGAGUCGCCACUUGGGAUAAUUUAUGGCAUCCCAAGUCACCGGUUUAAAUCCCGAAUCGAGGAAAGAUUGACUCUGUUUAACAGUCUGCGAACCAGAAAUCCGGGUAAGGAAUUUUGUUAACCCCGGAGAAGGUGUUAGGCAUUCCCGAGUUCCGUGGUUCUAGCACGGUCGCUCAACUGUUAUAUUCGGCUUAAUUAUCUGAUUUUAAAAUAUUUUUGAACCUAUGUGCAAAUUUUAACUUUUAACCGCUUUUAUUCAUUUUAAAGAAGAUUUAACGUCGUUUAAAACAUGUCUUUGGAUUGUGCCACAUGAAAUGUACCCGCAAUCCGUAACACAUUUUAUUUAACGUUGCGAGAUUUAGAGUUGGAUCACAUGAAAUGCACACCCGAGUUUAGGAAAGUAAUAUUAUUGAAUAUACGCGCCUAGAGCAACUACGCGUUUUUAACUUUGUAAGGGCCAUGGAAAUUUCCUAAAUGGCACGCCUCGAAUUCUAAGUAUUUUAAAAGAAACAAUUAAGCGAGGGCCACGCAUUUGAGAUUUUAUGUUUGGCAUGGCGCACCUCAAUUUAUUCUAAUUAGAGCGUUGCUAAACUAAUACAUGAGGACCAUAAGUUGUUAUUGGUUUUGAAUGACACACCUCGAUUAUUUUACAAGGAGUUAACUAAAUUAAACCACAUGGAACAAUUAUAAUUACGAGUACGAAAAUUUCAAACUCAAUGCCUAGAACUUGUAUGUUGACAAUUUGUGACAACAGAUUGAAUUCAUAAAACCAAACCCAAGUGGGUUAUGGACUCAUAACCUACCUAAAUGUCAAUAAGCAAGAAAAUCAAAAUAGGCUUAAACGUAAAUCCCCGAAACUGCAAUGUACCCAGUAGAGGAAGUUCGACAAAACUGGGCCAAUCCUGUAACCUAGUCCGAAACUGUGAGCAUUAGUUGCUACAAGAGAUCCAUGUUGAAAAAUGCAAACUUAACAACCCAAGUAUUACCAAUUUACAACUCAUUUCAUCAUUUUAAACCAAAAUAAGUUUCUGAUAUGUUCCCUCCAACUGCUGGAUUCUGAUUUCAUGCCAACAGGCCAAAAUUCAGAUUCACAUUCCAUUCACGAUUUUAUUAAACUUCCAAGAUUGCUUAUGCGUAAAAAAAUAGCAGGCUUACGUGAGAAAACCAAAACAUUGGACUAUACUUCAAAUCAUUUGCAAGAAAAUCUAAAGGAAUGAUUAAGAGGGAGAUAACAUUAAACCAAACUGCUGAGCCUAUAACACAAGCAAACCAAACUAGUAGCGUCCCAUUAUACAUGUUAGGCUAGAAUAAAAUUUUGAAUAAGUCAUAGUCAAAGGAGACCUCAGCUCCAGCCUUAGAACAACAGAUGAUACCCAACGACUACACCUAAGAAGCGAAACUAUAAUGGACACUAAACUAAAGCACGGUAAGGUCACAUAGCUAAGAAAUAACAAGGAAUUAGCACUUUGACAAUUUCUUCAACUUGAAUUAAAUAACUCGAACCACAGCUUAGCUAAAACUUCAUUUCCAUUCAUGGUGUGAAGAAAGUACAUGGAUACAUCAAUCAAAACAGAAGGAAAGGAAAUGGUUAAGGCUCAGAACUGCAGUCUACAGCAACAAUGCAACAAUGAAACCCAAUUGCAAACCUAGGUGAUGCACAAUAUCCCAAAAACAACUUCAAUUGAACAGAGACCCAACAAAACUCAAAACCAAACUUUUACAAACCCAGAAUCAAUCCAUUUUUAAACCCCCAAGUGAAUCAUAAGUUGCAUCAGAAAUUGAAAAUCUUAAGAACACCAAAAAAAAUCAAUAGAACAAUGAUUUCAUCUAGUUUUAGCCGUCUGUUGUUUUUUCAAAAUUCUCUAUCUCUAAUCUCUCUAAAAUCAAACAAUUUUAGCCCCCAAAUAAAUCAAUAUGUAUUUCAGAAGUUGAAAAUCUAAGAAAUCACAAAGAAGCACUCAAUGAAACAGUGAAAUUUUUGUGGAAUUCUUAGCUGUUUCAGAAAUUUCUAUUCUCCCCCCCUCUCCAUAAUUUUCAGCCUUUAAAUAGACAUUCAAUUUGUGUCAUUCCCAUUAUCAAAUCACCUUUUCCAUUCUUAAUUAUCCACUUAACUUAAUGCUUUUUACUUUAAUCAGUAGUGUAUUUUCAAACCCUAGCACUUAUUAGAAGCUUCCUAAAUUAGGUGAGAUUCACUUCAAACUACCCAUACAUUACCCCUUAAACUUCCGUUAAUUACUUUCAAGAAACCAGACGGAUAUGGGUCAAUCUUGACCCAAAACCUAUCAGGACUUUGAUGUGGGAUCAAGAAUGGCCUGAAGGCCCAAACAAUCAAACUAAUCCAGGCUAAAUUAAGUGUUUUUACAAAAAGAAGAAGAAAACAAUCAUUUGAAGGGUUUGAAAACUAAAACUAUCUAUAAGACUGAUUAACAACAUACAAACAUGAACUAAAAUCAAACAGACAAUUAAUAAUUUCAAAUAAAACCUAAUUCACAUCUUAACUAAGUUGUUCAAAGACAAAGAAGAGAAGAAGAAGAGGCAGAGGUGGAAUAUGCAUUAAAAUAAAAAGAAAUGAUACCGGGAAACUCACCGACUAAGCUGGAAAUCAACUUGGUACCCUGACUUUACGAUUUCAUCGCCAAAUAAUGUUAGUCACUUUUUCUUUGUCAAAACAAGUGAGUAACAUUAUUUUGUUACAAAACCAGCUCUAAAACUGGAACCAUCAUCAUCAACCUCGAGUUUUUGAUUUGGCUCUUGGAACCCGAAUUUGGGAUUUAAAAUUCGAGGGGUUUAGAACAGAUUUGAGGGAAUAUACUUGGAGAUUAGGGAGGAGGGAGGCAUGGGGAUUCCCUGGUGUUAAUUUGGGAUUGAUUGGAAGUAGCACCGCCACCGGAGAAUAUUAGGGCGACACUAGGGUUUAUCCUUUCGAAUCGAUAUUCGAAGACCUCCAGGGAUGUUCUAAAGAAAAGAAGUAGGGGUUUGGAAAUGUGAGGGUGAGAGGAGUCUAUGGUGUAUUUUUGGGGGUGAUUGGCCAUCGUCCGCCGCCGUGGACGAUUUUCGGCGGCGGAAAGCGGCAGAGUGAGGCAGUGAUUUGUUGGUCUCUGAAGAGAGACGAGAGAGAGGAGGGGGAGUGUUCUGAGGGUAGGGUCUAAUGGGUUAGGGUAUACUAAAGGGGUAAUUAAAUUAGGGCCGUUGGAUGAUGAGAAUCCAACGGCCAUGAUUGAUCUUUUAACGAAACGGGGUUGUUUGGUGUAGCAACUGGGGCGGACCGGGCAUUGGGUGGACGAGUCGGGUUGGGUAUUGGGUGAAGGCUUUUGGACCGUUCGAUCAAAUUAAUUCAAAGGCCCAGAUUGAGACGCCUGGAACAGCAUCAUUUGGUUUGAAGCUGGAGACGAACCGGGUUGGGGAAAAGUCUAGGCCGGUUUUUGGGGUGGGUUUUAGGUGUAUUUGUUCUAUUUUAUUUUGGGCUGGGGAUUUUUUGCCCAAUUCUAUUUUACCCUCUUCUAUUUAAUUCUUUUCCUCUUCUAUUUAUUUCCCAAACUAGUUUUUCAAAAUAAAAAAUAAAAUCCUAAAUUAAAUUAUAAACCCAAAUUAGCUUUAAACAUAUUAAUUAACUCUAAAUAAUAAUUAUCAUAAAUAAUUAAAUACUAAAUUAAAAGAAAUAUCAAAAAAUACAAAAAAAAUAUGUUAUUUUUUGUGAAUUUUUUCAUUUUUGUAAAUCACCUAAUUAUUAAUUAAUUCCAAAAUGUCAAACUAAAUCCUAAAUGCAAUUACAAUAUAUAUUUUUUGUAUUUUUCAUUACUAAAUAAAAUAAACAGGCACAGACAAUAUUCACACAAUGACAGAAAAUGCCACUAAAAUCCACAAAAAUCGCAAAUAAUGAAAAAAUUAUUUUGUUUUGAAUUUUCUGGGAGUAAUUCAUAUAGGGCAAAAAUCACGUGCUCACAGCUGCCCCUCUUUGCUCGGAAACAUGAAGAAUUUUUGUGCAAAAAUAAAGUGAGCGGAUACGAGCGAUUUUUGCCCGUUUGAAUACUCUGUGGAAAGCAUUUUUGAAAGAUUUGACCGAACCUAUGCUUCAAAGGUUUCCUACAUAUCAUUGGCUAUAAAGGAAUCAGGUCAAUGUAGUUCGGGAAGUUUUGGUAGCUGGGACUACCAUGAAGCUGUGGUUUCACUGUUGUUGUUGCUGCUGUUACUACUUAUUGAUCUCCUUAUUACACCAUGACAAAAUAAAGAAGCUAGACUAAGCUUAUAAUAUAUGCUUUACAAAGAUUUAUUUUCAAACUUGGUCUUUGUGACUGUUGUUGCCUUCGUUGACUUGUAUUGCCCUAUAGAAGUUCCUUUGUUGCUGACUUAAAGUGUAUUUGUGAGAUGCUUUCCCUUUCCUCCAGGCAGGCACCUCGUUGCUGAGCCUUUAAACGUCUUCCUUUGACCAUUGUUGCCUAUCUUCUGUUCUCCAGGCGGGCUCCUGAUUACUUGAACUUGAAUUGCUUCUUCCCUUCGUUCUCCAGGCGGGUUCCUGAUUACUUGAAAUUUGAAUUGUAUUCCCUUGCUCUCCAAGUGAGUGCCUGAUUGCCGAAACUUGAGGUGUACUCCCUUGCUCUCCAGGUGGGCGCCUGAUUGCUGAAGCUUGAAUUGCAUUCCCUUGUUCUUCAGGUGGGCUCCUGACUACCGGGUCUUUAACUGCUUUUCCUUGUUCUCCAGGUGGACGCCUGAUUGCUGAUACUUUAACUGUUGUUCCUUGUUCUCCAGGUGGACGCCUGAUUGCUGAUAUUUCAACCGUUAUUCCUUGUUCUUCAGGUGGAUGCCUGAUUGAUGAUAUUUCAACUGUCUUUCCUUGUUCUCCAGGUGGAUGCCUGAUUGCUGAAUCUUUAACUGCUUUUCCUUGUUCUCCAGGUGGAUGCCUGAUUUCUGAAAUUUGAAUCAUCUUCUUCUUGCAACUGCCUUUCUUUGACUUGUUCUCCCUUGUUCCUCUAGGUGGGCGUCUGAUUACCAAUACUUGUGCUAAUCUUUCUUGAAACUUGAUUUGUUUUCCCUUGUUCUCCAGGUGGGCCCCUGAUUACUUGGUCAUGCUCUGCUUUUUAUCAUUAAUAUCUGUGUUGUUCUUCCUUGUUCUUCAGAUGGGCAUCUGACUUCAGCAAAAUAGACAACAAAAGAAAAUUUCCUGCCCUAGUUUGGUAACCGGGCGCAUCUGUGAGUGUUAAUUGAAUCCUUUUACCAAAUAUCUAUAGCAAUCUGCAAGCUAUAUCCCAUUAUCCAGGAGGGUCCUUAAAAUCUCUAGUAAAUUUCCAAAGCUACAUUAUAUUUUUUAGAGGUAUGACUUCCGUCGAAUCUUGUUAUCUAAGACAGUCUUAAAGCUACAUCCCAUUAUCCAGGAGGGUUCUAAAAUUUCGAAUUAAACCUUAUCUUACGGAUGACAAUUUCAACGCUAAACUGUACUCUCUUAUAACAACACUUACUUAUCUAAUGGAAUGCUUAAAGUUACGUCCCAUUAUUCAGGUGGGUCCUGAAAACUCUUAUGCGAACUUUGAAGCCAACUUAUAUUCCUUUUGGUGCAUAUUUGUCCUAUAUUUACUACUUAUGAUUGUUUUGGAUUUUAACCUAGGUCCCAUUUUCCAGGAGUGUCCUGAAUUUUCGAAUUGAGUCUUGUCUUAAAAAAAUGAAAAAGUCAAACCAACUUAUAUUUUCACAAAGUAGAGCUUAUGCUAGAUAUUGUACUCAUGAAUAUUUCUAAUUAAAGCUAAGUCCCAUUAUCCAGGAGGGUCCUGAGAACUCCUAAUUGAAUCCUAUCUUAAAUAUGCAAACUUUGAAACCAACUUAUAUUCCUUUGGGGUACAUUUAUGCUAGAUUUUGCUAUUUACAAUUGUUUCUAUUUUUAAACUAGGUCCCAUUUUCCAGGAGGGUCCUGAGAAUUCUACAAUCAAACCUGCCUGGUACUUGUUCUCCUUAUGGAUGAUUUCCUAAAACAAAUGCCAUCUUUGCCUCUAUUUCAAAUCAAAUAAAAUCUUGUCAGUUUAAAACGUGGUGGUUCGUUGUGGCAUUCUUGCUGGGGAUGGUUUUCUCUUUGCCAUGCUUUGCUUCGACCGACUGCCUCGAACUGGUCAAAAGAUUGUUUUGACCUUCUGACUGAUCCUUAACUGCAGGAUCCCCCAAUUGUUGUUAUCCACUUCCGACCUUUCUGCCUGAACCCAUACAUCUCCCACGACAUUACUGAACCAUUCCACCGGUAUAACUUUUGCUUACACCCUAUGUCCCAAAUUUCAUCAUAUCAUCUCCGGCAUGUUCUAGCCGUAUUUUGCUUUGUGCAAUUUCGAAACUGGUAGUAAACUCUGAAAUUCCUUUUUACAAGGCUAACCUUGGAAGAGCUUUAGAGGAGUAAAAUUAACAACAAUGAAAUGCGUUGAUUUUGGGAAUUAAGAAUAAAGAAGAAAAAUCCAAAUUUGGAUGACUGUUGGAGAUAGGAAAAGAAACUUAUCUGAGGGGAGUCACUGGAACCGAUGAUCAUGGUAUGCAUUUUGGAUUAAUCAGCUCAGUCUAUUUAACCAAUCUCCUUUCCAAUUGUUUUACUUUGUACUCCAAGAUUUCCACAACUCAAUUUACUUUCCGCCAACUUACGGACCUUGUUCGACUUGCAGUGCCCUGAAGGGUUUUCACCGACAAACCUCUAUCAUUUGUUCAUUCCUCGAUUCCCUGUCGCCUCAUGGUGCCCACGAAGGUUUUCACCGAUAAGACUCUCUCAUUUUUUCUUUCUCUCAGCUUUCGUCGCCUCAUGGUGCCCAUGAGGGUUUUUACCAAUAAGACUCUCUCAUUUUUUGAUUUCUCUUGCUUAAACCGGAGUGUUGCCCCUGAUAUGAAUUCUCUUUACUUGUUUGAUUUGGCAUCUCUCAAAAACUGAUUGGGAAGUCUUUCUUUGGACAGUCAUGUGGGUUCUUGGAUAUGUUUGGAAAGAAAAGGGUAUUGAAAAGGCUCCAAGCAUCUCAAAUAGGUUAGAAUUACAACUUUUGGAAUGAGAUUUCUUAUCACAAUCACAAAUUAUGCCCCAGUUUUUUGCUUGGGGAUCUUUUGAUAUUUUAUUUUACUAUGGCCGAGUCGUGAGGCUGCCUACGUAUCCUUAGCAGGAAUCAGGUCAAACGUAGUUCACACCCGAAUUUUUUUGUUUUCUUGUACUUUCUUUUUUUUUCUUUCUUUUCUUUCUUUNNNNNNNNNNNNNNNNNNNNNNNNNNNNNNNNNNNNNNNNNNNNNNNNNNNNNNNNNNNNNNNNNNNNNNNNNNNNNNNNNNNNNNNNNNNNNNNNNNNNNNNNNNNNNNNNNNNNNNNNNNNNNNNNNNNNNNNNNNNNNNNNNNNNNNNNNNNNNNNNNNNNNNNNNNNNNNNNNNNNNNNNNNNNNNNNNNNNNNNNNNNNNNNNNNNNNNNNNNNNNNNNNNNNNNNNNNNNNNNNNNNNNNNNNNNNNNNNNNNNNNNNNNNNNNNNNNNNNNNNNNNNNNNNNNNNNNNNNNNNNNNNNNNNNNNNNNNNNNNNNNNNNNNNNNNNNNNNNNNNNNNNNNNNNNNNNNNNNNNNNNNNNNNNNNNNNNNNNNNNNNNNNNNNNNNNNNNNNNNNNNNNNNNNNNNNNNNNNNNNNNNNNNNNNNNNNNNNNNNNNNNNNNNNNNNNNNNNNNNNNNNNNNNNNNNNNNNNNNNNNNNNNNNNNNNNNNNNNNNNNNNNNNNNNNNNNNNNNNNNNNNNNNNNNNNNNNNNNNNNNNNNNNNNNNNNNNNNNNNNNNNNNNNNNNNNNNNNNNNNNNNNNNNNNNNNNNNNNNNNNNNNNNNNNNNNNNNNNNNNNNNNNNNNNNNNNNNNNNNNNNNNNNNNNNNNNNNNNNNNNNNNNNNNNNNNNNNNNNNNNNNNNNNNNNNNNNNNNNNNNNNNNNNNNNNNNNNNNNNNNNNNNNNNNNNNNNNNNNNNNNNNNNNNNNNNNNNNNNNNNNNNNNNNNNNNNNNNNNNNNNNNNNNNNNNNNNNNNNNNNNNNNNNNNNNNNNNNNNNNNNNNNNNNNNNNNNNNNNNNNNNNNNNNNNNNNNNNNNNNNNNNNNNNNNNNNNNNNNNNNNNNNNNNNNNNNNNNNNNNNNNNNNNNNNNNNNNNNNNNNNNNNNNNNNNNNNNNNNNNNNNNNNNNNNNNNNNNNNNNNNNNNNNNNNNNNNNNNNNNNNNNNNNNNNNNNNNNNNNNNNNNNNNNNNNNNNNNNNNNNNNNNNNNNNNNNNNNNNNNNNNNNNNNNNNNNNNNNNNNNNNNNNNNNNNNNNNNNNNNNNNNNNNNNNNNNNNNNNNNNNNNNNNNNNNNNNNNNNNNNNNNNNNNNNNNNNNNNNNNNNNNNNNNNNNNNNNNNNNNNNNNNNNNNNNNNNNNNNNNNNNNNNNNNNNNNNNNNNNNNNNNNNNNNNNNNNNNNNNNNNNNNNNNNNNNNNNNNNNNNNNNNNNNNNNNNNNNNNNNNNNNNNNNNNNNNNNNNNNNNNNNNNNNNNNNNNNNNNNNNNNNNNNNNNNNNNNNNNNNNNNNNNNNNNNNNNNNNNNNNNNNNNNNNNNNNNNNNNNNNNNNNNNNNNNNNNNNNNNNNNNNNNNNNNNNNNNNNNNNNNNNNNNNNNNNNNNNNNNNNNNNNNNNNNNNNNNNNNNNNNNNNNNNNNNNNNNNNNNNNNNNNNNNNNNNNNNNNNNNNNNNNNNNNNNNNNNNNNNNNNNNNNNNNNNNNNNNNNNNNNNNNNNNNNNNNNNNNNNNNNNNNNNNNNNNNNNNNNNNNNNNNNNNNNNNNNNNNNNNNNNNNNNNNNNNNNNNNNNNNNNNNNNNNNNNNNNNNNNNNNNNNNNNNNNNNNNNNNNNNNNNNNNNNNNNNNNNNNNNNNNNNNNNNNNNNNNNNNNNNNNNNNNNNNNNNNNNNNNNNNNNNNNNNNNNNNNNNNNNNNNNNNNNNNNNNNNNNNNNNNNNNNNNNNNNNNNNNNNNNNNNNNNNNNNNNNNNNNNNNNNNNNNNNNNNNNNNNNNNNNNNNNNNNNNNNNNNNNNNNNNNNNNNNNNNNNNNNNNNNNNNNNNNNNNNNNNNNNNNNNNNNNNNNAGCUGAGCCAUAACAAGAUAAUGCUGCCCUAUUUCAGAAAUAAGCACAGCCCCUAUUCCAACUCCUUUUAUGUUGACAGCCCCGUCAAAGAAAAGUUUCCAACCUGGUUUCUCAAUCUGCUGUAGUUCGUCGAUAUGCAUCACCUCUUCAUUGGGAAAAUAAGUUUUCAAUGGCUCGUACUCAUCAUCGAUCGGGUUUUUGGCCAAAUGAUCGACCAAUGCUUGGGCUUUCAUCGCAGUCCUAGUCACAUAGAUGAUGUCAAACUCUGUGAGCAAAAUCUGCCACUUCGCAAGUCUUCCUGUCGGCAUAGGCUUUUGAAUGAUAUACUUCAACGGAUCCAAGCGCGAAAUAAGGUAAGUAGUGUAGGAUGACAAAUAAUGUUUCAAUUUCUGAGCCACCCAAGUUAGGGCGCAACAUGUCCUUUCCAGGUGAGUGUACUUAACCUCAUAAGAUGUGAACUUCUUUCUAAGAUAGUAGAUGGCCUGUUCCUUUCUGCUGGUGAUGUCAUAUUGCCCCAGUACACAGCCAAAUGAGUUUUUCAGGACUUUCAAGUAAAGAAUCAAAGGUCUCCUUGGUUCUGGCGGGACCAACAUAGGUGGGUUUGACAAGUAUCCUUUUAUAUUAUCCAAUGCUUCUUGACACUCAUCAGUCCACUUGAUCCGCAACAUCCUUCUUCAGCAAUUUGAAAAUAGGCUCACAAGUUGUCGUGAGCUGAGCAAUAAACCUGCUGAUAUAGUUCAACCUCCCUAACAGACUCAUCACUUCAGUCUUGUUCCUUAGGGGUGGCAAUUCUUGGAUAGCUUUGAUCUUUGAUGGGUCCAACUCAAUGCCUCGAUAGCUGACUAUGAAUCCCAACAAUUUUCCGGAUGGAACACCAUAUGCGCACUUGGUAGGGUUUAGUUUGAGGUUGUACCUGCGAAGCCUCUGGAAAAAUUUCCUCAAGUCUCUGACGUGGUCGGCCUGCUGCUUUGACUUUAUGAUUACAUCAUCUAUGUACACCUCAAUCUCCUUGUGUAUCAUAUCAUGGAACACAGUAGUCAUUGCCCUCAUGUAAGUUGCCCCAGCAUUUUUCAAACCAAAUGGCAUUACUCGGUAAUAAUAAGUUCCCCAUGGUGUGAUGAAUGCCGUCUUUCCGCAUCUUCUUCAUCCAUUAAAAUCUGAUGAUACCCUACAUAGAAAUCCACAAAAGAUCCAAUCUCACGCUUGGUGCAAUUAUCGAUCAAAAUGUGGAUGUUGGGUAGUGGGAAAUUAUCCUUUGAACUUGCUUUUUUGAGAUUGCGGUAAUCAACGCAUAUUCUGAUCUUGAUGUCCUUCUUUGGUACUAGCACAACAUUAGCUAACCAAACGGGAUAUCGUGUGACCCGAAUGACCUUUGUAUCCAACUGCUUAGUGAUUUAUUCCUUAAUAUUCACACUCAUAUCAGUUUUGAACUUUCUCAAUUUUUGCUUGACGGGAGGGAAUGUCGGGUCAAUGGGUAACUUGUGGACCACCAAAUCAGUGCUCAAACCUGGCAUGUCAUCGUAUGACCAUGAAAAAAUAUCUUUGUAUUCAAUCAGUACUUUGAUUAUCUCUUCCCUGAUCUUUGGUUCAAGGUGGACGCUUAUUUUAGUCUCUCUGAUAUUAUAUGCGUCCCCUAAAUUGAUGGCUUCUGUAUCAUAUAGGUUGGGUUUGGGUUUUCCUUCAAAGUGAUUUAAUUCCUUACUAAUCUCUUCAAAAACCCCAUCCUCAUCAUAUUCUGAUUCGUCAUCACACUCUACUUCUUGAAUUAUUAUUUCAAAAUCAUAUUGAUGUUUAAGACUGGGCUGAGGAUUCCGCAUGCAUGCCAUGUCAUUAGAACCAGCGUAAAAAGAACUGUAUAGAAAAGAAAAGAAAAACAAAACGGAAAACUAUUAGGAAUGAUGAAGAAAUGGAAAUUGCAUUUCAUUGAAUGAUAAAAGAUAACAAGGUUUGCACACUCAAACAGACUGAAAGAUAAUAAUUUGGAUUACAACCCUGGAAUAACCCAGAUAAACUGAAAGAAAAAUCAAAGCCCACUACCAAAGCUCCUUCCGAGUAGGAAGAGGAGUAGCUUCCCAAUUACUAAUCUUUGCACUUUGCCCAACGAAUUGCACAUCCGCUUGACUUGAUCCUUCUCUAGUUUCCACCAUGUUAACAUCACUGAACAACCUCUCGAACCCCUUAGUCAAAUCUCCAUCAACAUCAAUCAAUGAACCGGGAACCGUUGUUGUUGGGUGCUUUCUGGCGCUAGGCCUAAUAAAUGAUCUGGACAGCCGCGGGAUGGGCUUUGGAAGGAACCACGCCUUUUGCCUCAACUUUAUGGAUCUUCUUACAUCCGUAGCUAUAGGCUUAAACCCCAGAACAAAGGUAUCUAGGUUUUUGGGCAGAGAUACUGGUUGUACGAUGCCCUGCAACGAAGCACCCAAACCCUUGCUAGGUACAAAGCCAUUCUUCAACAUCUCAGAUGCCACCAUGACUGACACAGUUGUUACUUUAGGAACUAGAAUGCUUUUCCCCUCUGGGAUCUUUUCAAUUGAUACUGCAUCAAAGACCUGAUAUACCCAUAGCCCUUUGUCAUAUUCAACUUCAAUGAAAGGUAUGAUGGCAUCACUUUGGGCACACAUAUUAUCCUCACCGUGCACCACAAUUUCUUGUCUGUCCCAUUCAAAUUUAACCAUCUGAUGCAAAGUAGACGUCACUGCCUUGGCAGUAUGAAUCCAGGGUCGCCCCAGCAAAAGAUUGUAAGAAACUGCCAUGUCCAACACUUCGAAUUCCAUAGUGAACUCCACAGGACCUAUUGUCAGUUCCAGUAUUAUAUCACCUACUGAAUCUUUGCCCCCGCCGUUAAACUCCCGAACACAAAUGCUAUUCUUGUGAUUCUAUCAUUGCCCACUUUCAGCUUGUUCAAUGUGGAGAGAGGGAAAAUAUUCGCACUAGACCUAUUAUCGACCAGAACUCUGCUAACCAUAGAAUCUUUGCACUUUACCGUCAGAUAAAGGGCCCUAUUAUGCUCAGUACCCUUCACGUGCAACUCAUCAUCGGAGAAAGUAACUCUAUUUGCUUCGAAGAUUUUGUUGGCUAUUUUCUCCAAAUAAUUCACGGAGAUCUUAUCGGGAACGUUCACUUCAUUCAAGAUUUUCAUUAAAGCUUGACGGUGCUCAUCCGAGUGGAUUGGUAAUGACAAUAGCAAAAUUUGAGCAGGCGUCUUUCUUAAUUGUUCCACAAUAGAGUAGUCCUGUAGCUUCAUCUUCCUCAAGAAUUCUUCUGCUUCUCCCUCAGUUACGGCCUUUUUUACCAGUGCCGGAUUAUCUUUUGUUCUUCUUAACUCCUCGAGAGUAAAACACCUUCCCGAGCGAGUCAAACCUUGGGCUUCACAGACUUCUUCUUUGACCUCCUUCACUUUGUACAUCAUUGUUACUCGUUUGUAAUUCCAUGGAAUAGCCUUGCUGUUGAUUAUUGGUAACUAGGUUACCAGCUUAAUAAUAACCCGAUCUAUGCGGGCACCUUCCACGAUUAUGACGGGUUGGCUGACCGCUCCUGGUACAAUCACCUUUAUCCCUUCCUGUUUCAUUUCAAUCUUUCUCGAAGACCUUUUUUCAACUUCCAAAGAUGGCUCAACACUCUUUUUGCUCGAUUUGAGCACCAACUUCUCACCUGCUGAUUGUUCAACUGUCUUAGACCGAAUCAUCAUGACGGUCUGUGACGAUUUCCUGGGCUUUCCCUCCGCAUCCACUAUUUCAAUCCUAUUUGCCUCCUGGUGAGCUGGCAUUGGAUUCCUGUUAAUAUUGGGUGCCUCAGGACUUGAACUUCAAUUCUAUUGGUAUCAAUAAUCUCCUGUAUCGCACUUUUCAAGUGCCAGCACUUCUCUGUAUCAUGACCCGGAGUACCAGAACAAUACUCACAGCUGACAGUAUAGUCAAGAUUCUUUGGAGGAGGAUUUGGCAGUUUGGACUAUAUCGGCCUCAGCAUAUCCAGCUGUCUUAGCUUGUGGAACAAACUAGUGUAUGACUCUCCAACGGAGUAAAGGUUUUCUUUUUCCGCAACCUUUCACCCUUGAAUGCUUGACUAGGCUGGAAACUUGGUUCUUGUGGAUGUGGAUAAGUAUUUUGUGGAGCGGGAGCAUGCCAUUGCGUGUGGGCAGGAGGUUGGUUGUAUGCUUGUGCAUGGUGGACGGAAAAAUGAGGUUCUGGUNNNNNNNNNNNNNNNNNNNNNNNNNNNNNNNNNNNNNNNNNNNNNNNNNNNNNNNNNNNNNNNNNNNNNNNNNNNNNNNNNNNNNNNNNNNNNNNNNNNNNNNNNNNNNNNNNNNNNNNNNNNNNNNNNNNNNNNNNNNNNNNNNNNNNNNNNNNNNNNNNNNNNNNNNNNNNNNNNNNNNNNNNNNNNNNNNNNNNNNNNNNNNNNNNNNNNNNNNNNNNNNNNNNNNNNNNNNNNNNNNNNNNNNNNNNNNNNNNNNNNNNNNNNNNNNNNNNNNNNNNNNNNNNNNNNNNNNNNNNNNNNNNNNNNNNNNNNNNNNNNNNNNNNNNNNNNNNNNNNNNNNNNNNNNNNNNNNNNNNNNNNNNNNNNNNNNNNNNNNNNNNNNNNNNNNNNNNNNNNNNNNNNNNNNNNNNNNNNNNNNNNNNNNNNNNNNNNNNNNNNNNNNNNNNNNNNNNNNUCAAGUAGGCUACUGGAUCACCGUGCUCGUUGUAUAGAUCAAACUUGGGCAUCUUGAAGCCUGUCGGCAAUUGCACAUUCGGAAACAGAUGUAGGUCCUUGUAGGCCACACCUACUUGUCCUCCCAAUCCCCAUAUGUCCCUGAAUGAUUAUUCUAAGCUUUUGACUUUCCUGAACAUCUCUUCCUGUUCAAGAUUUUUGGAUGGUUUAUCAGCAUCUAUCGGGAAGUCAAAAUGAGGAGCAUAGGAAUGGGUUUCUAGAGCUUUGAAAGUGGGCUCCAAGGGGUAGUAGUGGUUGUCCUGUGCCUGGAACAUUGGCUUGCUAGGAGAUUUGUGAAGUGUAACUAUUGGAGGUGCUACGAAGACAGGAGUUACUAGUGGAUGAGGGUAUGGGGAUGGAGACUGUGGCAUAUGAGAAGUGGUGCCCCGGUAGAGUUAGUAAAUGGGAAAGCUCGGGGAUAGAUCGGUGGCAAGAUGAUCCUGAGGUUGAGCCGGUGGUGGAGUGAAGGUACGUUUAGCCGGGUAAGCUGAUGGCGGUUGUCCUUUAGCCCAGGCCUUACAUUUCGGCCAUUUGUUGUUUCAAUUUGUACAUCUCUUCUUUCAUGGUAUUGACAUCCAACUAUUCCCCGUCUCUCGAAGGAUCGAUGACACUAGUGUCUACAUCUGGGAUAGACAUGAUUAUUUCACCUUUGGAUCUGGUUUGGUAUGGGUGGGUUGCCAGUAUGCUUAGAUGAACUAAGUGCUUGGAUUCUGGUAACAACAACAAAACUUGUUAGUGAUUAGAGUUUUAACAAAUAGGCAACCGCACAUAGUCAUUUCUAUCAUGUAUUUGCUAGGUUGCUUGUGUCAUCCCGUCUUUUUCUUUUUAUGACCUUUCCCUUUUAUUAUUACUCACGCCUAACUUUUAUUCCCCUCUUUUCUUUUUCCGUUGUAUUCUUUUUCUUUUGGUUGUGGUCGAAUCCUGUGGAGAUUGCCUACGUAUCAUGACCCCGUAUGAAUCAGACCGAGCGUAGUUCUGGCAUAAUAAAGUGUAAUAAUGAAUAACAAAAUAUUUUGGGAUUUUCAAUUCUUCUCAUAAAAAGGAAAUUCUUUGAAUUACAACGAUUCAAAGCUAAAAGACUCAAAAAGGAAAAUAACAGACUGAAAAAGAAAAAGAAAGGUACAGACUAAAAAAAAUCAAGAAUACAUUAAUGCUCAUGGUGCCCGCAGGACAUCAUUCGGUCUCGCCGUGGGCCUAAAUGCGAGAUCCCCUUGCAGUCGCUCCAAAUCACUUAUAACUUGGCGGACGAAAGUCAUCACUGCAGCGAAAAAGGUGGUACGAGUCAUGUCCUCGCACGCUUGGCACUUCAUGGUAAUGUAGUCAGCGAUGGUCCUGAUCUUUUCUCUAAUUCUCCCUUUUUCCUGAAGCAACCGCCCUAUCUGCUGAUUCCGGGCUUCUAACACUUGAGAGUAAUGAACGUGUUGAUUUUGCAACUGCUGUAUUCCUUCCUCUAUCUGAACCAUCAGAUCAUAACAGUGCUCCCUAUCAGCUUUGAAAUCUUUAGCCUGCUUGACUGCCUCAUUCUCGAGAGUGGCUAUCUUUCUUCUUAGGAUAGUGAUGGUCCCUUCAUCGUUCCUCUUCAUUUGUUGCACAAACCGUGCCCGCUCUUCUGCCUUCUUUGUCCAUUUUGCCCGGAUUUUUGCUAGACCAGCUUUAGAUUUUUCCAGGUCUUCUUGACACUCGAGGGCUUUCUCUUUCAGACCGCUUAUGUGUCUUUUAUUAGCCCGACUUCUUUCCGAGUUUUUGGCAGCUAUUUUCAUCUUCUGGAUCUGAGCUUUGAGGGCCUCAUUUUCCUGAGCUAGUUUUUUCUUUUCUCCCUUAUCUGCAGCAGCUUGAACACCAUUUUCAAACUGAAGCUCCAUGACUCGCCUUUCCAACUGGCUUAUUUUGGCCCUGUACUCGUUUUUUUUGGUCAGCCAGUCCCAUUGCACCUGUGCCCCAUCGGUGAAUUGUUGGACAUGGGGUCUCUUUGCAGGCCUCUCGGGGAUCUAGAAUCUUUUGUAGAACCAGACAAUGUACUUAGGGUCCACUUCACCUCUAGCUAAAUCUCGCAUCAUGGUCUUAGGUUCAAGAAACCUACAUUCAUUCCAUAUCCGACGAAUUUUCCCUUCUAGAAAUGCGGCUUUUGGGCCUAGUUCAAUGGCAUAUUUACUCAAAUCUUCAUCACUGGGAACAGUUUGAAAUCUUCCUAAUUGGCACAGAACCCUGAAGGGAGCAUAAGGCGGGAUGCUCCGGAUGCCCAUUAAGAGGAUAUAACAUACUUCAGCUGACAUGUACACUACUUCGGUGACAGGAAGUCAUCCUAAUGCCCACUCAAUUUUAUCAGCAGUCAAGGAUCUCAAAUGUUUAACCCAAGCUUUAGUGCCUUCGGGGAAUUCAAUACCUGCCACUCGGCUUCCGAAUUCUUCAAUGCAGCUCAAACCGGUCAAACCGUAAUUCAUAUACCCAACCCGGUGGCAGAGAUGCUCUUGCAUCCAUAAUUGUAGCAACAGAUUGUCGCCUUGGAAGAACUUUCCCCCUUCCCGACAGAUAGUCAAGGCUCGGUAGAUUUCAGAUAAGAUUAGAGGAACCACAAUGUUGUUGGCUUUCUUGAUUGCAACAUCGAUCAUUCCCACAAAACCUAUCUCUAUAUUACCAUCUUUUCGCGGACAAACCACAACAUCCAAGAAGGUUACCAUAAAAGCUAAACCUCGCCUUGCCUUCCAUUUGUCUUUACGUCCGGCAUAGAUUAGACCAGUGUUCGGUUCUUCAAAACCUCGGGGGUUGCCAUAUCGAUGAUACAGGAACUGGAGCGUGCAAUACCCUUCAGAUAAGUUUCUGUCCUGAAUAUCUCGACUAAUACUCAGCAAAUCCAAAAAUCUGUGGGGGGAUACCGGUCUUGGUGCUAAUGGAUAUCGACUUCUAAGGUUUCCGUUAAGGCCCGCAUAACCCACAACUUCUUCCAAUGUAGGUGUAAGCUCAAAGUCAGAAAAGCGGAACACAUUGCGAGUCGGGUCCCAAAAAGGUACUAAAGCUUCAAAUAUGUCCAACCUUGGCUUGACAUUCAAUAGUCCGACGAGGCCUCCCAGAACUUUUACCAUUGUUUCUCUAUCUCCUUUUCCUAGAUCAUUCCACCACAUGUGGAGCUUUAAGGGGAUCUCAUUAAGGACUGUGAAGGGUUCAAUUUCGUUUAUGCUCAUCCUGCACAUUUAUUAAGGUGAUUAUUUUGACCCAAAAAGAAAAAGUAACACCAUUUUUCAAAAAAAAAAUUUAUUUCAAAAACAAACUCGGCUUCGCAAAUACGGCAUUUCAGCACUUCGGGGAAAAAGAUUUUAAGGCUGUGCCUGCUAAAUGUUAAAAAUGACCCAAGGUGGCUGCUCUUGCAAAAACAGCCUUCCGGCGCCCUUUUGGGGACAUUCCGCUUAUUUUAAACAAGAAUGGCAUCACCCGACUUAUUUGUGACACUAAAUUAAAAUUUUGUAUUUUGGCUAUUCUUGCAAAAGGGAAAGUUGGACCCGAUGAAGGUUGCCUACGUAUCCCACAUCCGGUGAGAAUCAAACUGGCGUAAUUCAGGACUAAAUAAAACUUAUUUUUGUAAAAUAAAACUCUUUUUUUUUCAUUUCAUUUUUCUCAAAAAAAAAUUCGGCUGAGUUUCAGUACUAUUUGGACAUUGAAUUUUUCAAAACAGGUGGUUUACUCACUCAACCCUUAUACCGCUAUUUUCCUUUCCAAUUUUUCUCUCAUCUUUCAAAAGUCGGUCAGCAUGCGAACCCAAAGCAAAUAAAUGCACAAGUAGUACGUGAAAUAUGCAUCAGUAUGGUCUUUGAUUAUGGGUACACCUGUCCUAGAUGGACCCAACCCCUGUGUUGAGUCCCCUAAGUCAAAUGCACAUGAUACAAUCAAAUUUUCCUACUAGGGAUCCGUCAUGAGGCUGAGUUAUUCUAGGUUUAAAACCUGGGUUUAUUGUUCUAGACUUGGCUUACCCGAGCAGACAACUCGAGCCGAGAAGGGGGACGCGUACCGAGAAUACAGAAGCUUCCUCGGCUUUGCAACUUGUCCGAAGCUCAUUCUAAAAUGGGAUAAGACUCGAGACAAAAGAGAAGCCACACGAAGUGUACCCUUAUCCAUGAUUUAGAAGACUCAAAAAGAGGGAGGAUUUUGUAGCAGUUUAUAUAUACAGUUCAACCAUAUCAAAGGGGUAAAAGCAACAUUUAGCAUAUUAAGUCCACAAACUACAGUAAUAUCAACAAGAAAGGCAAAUAAAAAUUGCAUUAACAAGCUUGAAUUCAUGAACCCUGAACCGGAAGUUCUGGGUUCUUAUCCCCAGCAGAGUCGCCAGAGCUGUCACACCUCCUUUUUUCUACCCACCUGUAAGGGAUAUAAGGGAGUUUUUCUAAUUAAAGGACAAUCGAAAUGGUAUUGUUUAUUAAGAGAUUCAGAGUCGCCACUUGGAAUAAUUUAUGGCAUCCCAAGUCACCGGUUUAAAUCCCGAAUCGAGGAAAGAUUGACUCUGUCUAACAGUCCGUGAACCAGAAAUCCGGGUAAGGAAUUCUGUUAACCCAGGAGAAGGUGUUAGGCAUUCCCGAGUUCCAUGAUUCUAUCACAGUCGCUCAACUGUUAUAUUCGGCUUAAUUAUCUUAUUUUAAAAUAUUUUUGAACCUAUGUGCAAAUUUUAACUUUUAACCACUUUUAUUCAUUUUAAAGAAGAUUUAACGUCGUUUAAAACAUGUCUUUGGAUCGCGCCACAUGAAAUGUACACGCAAUCGGAAACACAUUUUAUUCAACGUUGCGAGAUUUAGAGUUUGGUCACAUGAAAUGCACACCCUAGUUUAGGAAGGUAAUAUUAUUGAAUAUACGCGCCUAGAGCAACUACGCGUUUUUAACUUUGCAAGGGCCAUGAAAAUUUGCUAAAUGGCACGCCUCGAAUUCUAAGUAUUUUAAAAGAAAUAAUUAAGCGAGGACCACGCAUUUGAGAUUUUAUGUGUGGCAUGGCGCACCUCAAUUUAUUCUAAUUAGAGCGUUGCUAAACUAAUGCAUGAGGACCAUAAGUUGUUAUUAGUUUUGAAUGGCACACCUCCAUUAUUUUACAAGGAGUUAACUAAAUUAAACCACAUGGAACAAUUAUAAUUAUGAGUGCAAAAAUUUCAAACUCAAUGCUUAGAACUCGUAUGUUAACAAUUUGUGACAGCAGAUUGAAUUCAUAAAACCAAACCCAAGUGGGUUAUGGACUCAUAACCUACCUAAAUGUCAAUAAGCAAGAAAACCAAAAUAGACUUAAACGUAAAGCCCCGAAACUGCAAUGUACCCAGUAGAGGAAGUUCGACAAAACUGGGCCAAUGUUGUAGCCCAGUCCGAAACUGUGAGCAUUAGUUGCUACAAGAGAUCCAUGUUGAAAAAUGCAAAUUUAACAACCUAACUAUUACCAAUUUAUAGCCUAUUUCAUCAUUUUAAACCAAAAUAAGUUUCCGAUAUGUUCCCUCCAACUGCUGGAUUCAUACUAACAGACCAAAAUUCAGAUUCACAUUCCAUUCACGAUUUUAUUAAACUUCCAAGAUUGCUUAUGCGUAAAAAAAAUAGCAGGCUUACGUGAGAAAACCAAAACAUUGGACUAUACUUCAAAUCAUUUGCAAGAAAAUCUAAAGGAAUGAUUAAGAGGGAGAUAACAUUAAACGAAACUGCUGAGCCCAUAACACAAGCAAACCAAACUAGUAGCGUCCCAUUAUAUAUGUUAGGCUAGAAUGAAAUUUUGAAUAAGUCAUAGUCAAAGGAGACCUCAGCUCCAGCCUUAGAACAACAGAUGAUACCCAACGACUACAUCUAAGAAGCUAAACUAUAAUGGACACUAAACUAAAGCACGGUAAGGUCACAUAGCUAAGAAAUAACAAGGAAUUAGCACUUUGACAAUUUCUUCAACUUGAAUUAAAUAACUCGAACCAGAGCUUAGCUAAAACUUCAUUUCCAUUCAUGGUGUGAAGAAAGUAACUGGAUACAGCAAUCAAAACAGAAGGAAAGGAAAUGGUUAAGGCUCAGAACUACAGUCUACAACAACAAUGCAACAAUGAAACCCAAUUGCAAACCAAGGUGAUGCACAAUAUCCCAAAACCAGCUUCAAUUGAACAGAGACCCAGCAAAACUCAAAACCAAACUUUUACAAACCCAGAAUCAAUCCAUUUUUAAACACCCAAGUGAAUCAGAAGUUGCAUCAGAAAUUGAAAAUCUUAAGAAUCACCAAAAAAAUCAAUAGAACAAUGAUUUCAUCUAGUUUUAGCCGUCUGUUAUUUUUUCAGAAUUCUCUAUCUCUAAUAUCUCAAAAAUCAAACAAUUUCAGCCCCCAAAUAAAUCAAUAUGCAUUUCAGAAGUUGAUAAUCUAAGAAAUCACAAAGAAGCACUCAAUGAAAAAGUGAAAUUUUUGUGGAAUUCUUAGCUGUUUCAGAAAUUUCUAUUCUCCCCCGCUGUCCAUAAUUUUCAUCCUUUAAAUAGGCAUUCAAUUAGUGUCAUUCCCAUUAUCAAAUCACCUUUUCCAUUCUUAAUUAUCCACUUAACUUAAUACUUUUUACUUUAAUCAGUAGUGCAUUUUCAAACCCUACCAUUUAUUAGAAGCUUCCUAAAUUAGGUGAGAUUCACUUCAAACUACCCCUACAUUACCCCUUAAACUUCCGUUAAUUACUUUCAAGAAACCAGAUGGAUAUGGGUCAAUCUUGACCCAAAACCUAUCAGGCCUUUAAUGUGGGAUCAAGAAUAGCAUGAGGCCCAAACAAUCAAACUGAUCCAGGCCAAAUUCAGUGCUUUUACAAAAAGCAGAAGAAAACAAUCAUUUGAAGGGUUCGUAAACUAUGUCUAUUAGACUGAUUAACAACAUACAAACAUGAACUAAAAUCAAACGGACAAUUAACAAUUUCAAAUAAAACCUAAUUCACAUCUUAACUAAGUUUUUCAAAGACAAAGAAGAGAAGAAGAAGACACAGAGGUGGAAUAGGCAUUAAAAUAAAAAGAAAUGAUACCGGGAAACUCACCGACUAAGAUGGAAAUCAACUUGGUGUCCUGACUUUCCAAUUUCACCGCCAAAUAAUGUUAGUCACUUGUUCUUUGUCAAAACAAGUGAGUAACAUUAUUUUGUGACAAAACCAGCUCUAAAACUGGAACCAUCAUCAUCAACCUCGAGUUUUAGGUUUGGCUCUUGGAACCCAGAUUUGGGAUUUAAGAUUCGAUUGGUUUAGAACGGAUUUGAGGGAAAAUACUUAGAAAUUAGGGAGGAGGGAGGUAUGGGGAUUCCCUAGUGUUAAUUUGGGAUUGAUUGGAAGUGGCGCCGCCACCGGAGAAUAUUAGGGCGGUGCUAGGGUUCAUCCCUUUAAAUCGAUAUUCAAGAGCUCCAAGGAUGUUCGAAAGAAAUGAAGUAGGGGUUUGUAAAGGGGAGGGUGAGAGGAGUCUAUGGUGUAUUUUUGGGGGUGAUUGGGCACCGUCCGCCGCCGUGGACAAUUUCCGGCGGGCAGAAAGCGGCGGAGUGAGGCGAUGAUUUAUUAGUCUCUGAAGAGAGAUGAGUGAGAGGGGGGGAGGGGGUUCUGAGGGUAGGGUCUAAUGGGUUAGGGUAUACUAAAGGGGUAAUUAAAUUAGGGCCGUUGGAUGAUGAGAAUCCAACGGCCAUGAUUGAUCUUUUAACGAAACAGGGUUGUUUGGUGUAGCAACUAGGGCGGACUGGGCAUUGGGUGGACGGGUCGGGUUGGGUAUUGGGUGAAAGCUUUUGGACCGUUCGAUCAAAUUAAUUCAAAUGCCCAAAUUGAGACGCCUGGAACGACGUCAUUUGGUUUGAAGCUGGAGACGUACCGGGUUGGGGAAAAGUCUGGGCUGGUUUUUGGGGUGGGUUUUAGGUGUAUUUGUUCUAUUUUGUUUUGGGCUAGGGAUUUUUGGCCCAAUUCUAUUUUACACUCUUCUAUUUAAUUCUUUUCCUCUUCUAUUUAUUUCCCAAACUAUUUUUUCAAAAUAAAAAAUAAAAUCCUAAAUUAAAUUAUAAACCCAAAUUAGCUUUAAACAUAUUAAUUAACUCUAAAUAAUAAUUAUCAUAAAUAAUCAAAAUACUAAAUUAAAAGAAAUCAAAAAAUACAAAAAAAUAUGUUAUUUUUGUGAAGUUUUUCAUUUUUGUAAAAUACCUAAUUAUUAAUUAAUUCCAAAAUGUCAAACUAAAUCCUAAAUGCAAUUACAAUAUAUAUUUUUUGUAUUUUUCAUUACUAAAUAAAAUAAACAGGCACAAACAAUAUUCACACAACAACAGAAAAUGCCACUAAAAUCCACAAAAAUCGCAAAUAAUGAAAAAAUUAUUUUGUUUUGAAUUUUCUGGGAGUAAUUCGUAUAGGGCAAAAAUCACGUUCUCACAUUAGGUGUGGAAAUUCUGGUAUUCGUGAGGCUCAGAGACUGAAUGUUCUUGUUGGCAGACUAUCCCUUGAUUGCGAGUUGUGAGGGAAUGGAGAAGAUUGGAUGAUUAAUGGUAGGUAUUAUGGAAAGGUUGCUAUAGAAUUCUGGAAGGUUUAUUGCAUGUUCGAGGAAGAUCGAAAUUUGGUUUGGGGAUUACUAAUGAGAGUGUGUAUUUUGUAUCAGAUCAGACCUAUUUGUUUUGUGCAGUUGUUGCCAUGUGUAUAUCAUCAGGUGGAAUGGAUGUCAUUCACGCCUUGGUUUAUGUUAUAUGUUUCUCUCUUAUACUAUGGGGGGAUUGUGAGGAUAUAAUGAUUCUUUGCACGCAUACUGUGAUUCAGUUUAGACUUCAUGGCACUAUGGGCGAGGUGGCCUAUGUGAUGUUGAUUUGCUUAUUGCACCAUAGUUGUGCUUGUCCUUCUCAGUAUUGUUUGUUCCUAAUAAUUUUUCCCAUAAUUAUAUUUUUGUGCACUCUAUUGUGCUUGAUGUUGACGCACAUGUGAUCAGUGAGCCCGGGUAUAAUGGCAUGAAGGGUACCUUAUGUGGAUUGAUAUGAUGAGAUCGGGUUGCACGCCGCAACAGUACAAUGAUGAAAAGUGACUCCUUAUUUUUAUUUCGUGUAUUUUGCUUUCAUCUUGUUGAGGAUAGUGAUGAUACCCAGUUUUUCCCUCAUAUAUUUUAACAUGCAUAUAUAUUUUCAAAAAUAGUGCACAUGCAUUUACAGACAUGCAAAAGGAUUUCUAUAUUUUUUCCAUAAUUUUAAAGGCUUUCAACCAAUUUAUUUCUGCAUUUUUACAAUACAAAUAUUCAAUAAUUAUACCUCAUAUUAUUUUUAUGAUGAUUUAGCCAUUUAAAUACAUCAUUUUUGUCCAUAUAGUGUUUAAAUAUUUUAAUUGCAUUUUUUAAGGCUAGAGUUACACAUUUUUGCAAUAAUAGCCUAUAUAUAUGCAUAAUUAUAUUAUUUACAUGGAAAAUGACUUUUUAUAUUUUUAUAAUAUUAAGUAAUUAUUUUGAAUCAUUUACAUGCACAGAUGAUAUUUUUAGCAUUUAUAAAUCAUUUUAUAAAAUUAUUUUACUAAAUUAAAUGGGUAUUUAAAACAUAGCUUUUUUUUUUCAAAAUUUCGGACCUAGCCCAAAACUACCCUAGCCCACUUAAAUAUAACCCAUAACGCAAUCUCCAAAUAACCCAUCCCAACCCAGAUGGAAUCCUAGCCGUUGAUAUCAAAAGAUCAACGGUUCAGGAUCCAUUUCCUUUUUUAUUAACCAAACGACCCCCCAAGCCCUACCCAUUUUCUCAAACACCGCUGCUCCUGAAUUCCUACCUCCUAUCUUCUCUCUCAACCUCUCCCAAACCUUAGCCUACCAUCACCUGAACCCCUUCAAUCCAUGGGGGUUCUCUUCGAUCUUAGGCCCUAUCCGGCCUCUUAUCUCUAAUGGUUGUUCAAUCUCUUUGUUAUUUGAUGGAAUCUUAAAGGGAUUCGAACAAAUUUGGUUCAAAUUCCUCAAUCUUCGGAUGAAUCUGUCUGUAUUCACCAUUUGUUUGUGAGUAUUGUCACUUUUGUAUUUUCGUUGCUUCAAAUCUCCUUAGCUGGUAUGCCUCCAUUUGUGUUAUCAUGUCCUCUUCUAUAUGCUAUGUAGUUAGACUUCAACAUGAUUCUGUUUUCCCUAUGUCUUCCUGUUUACUACUCUCUUAACUAAUAUGCCUCAAUUUUUAUUACCAUGCUCUAUUCUAUAUGCUAUAUAGUCAGUUCACAAUAGACAUCAACAUGUCUCUGUUUCAUGUUUGUUUCUCUCUGAACUAGCAUACCUCAAUUCCUGUUAACCUACCCUAUUCUAUAUGCUAGUAUGGAUAGUUUACCUUAACAUGUUUCUGUUUGAUCCAUGAUUUCUGUGUACUUCUUUCUAGACUAGUAUGCUUUAAUUUCCUACUAUCCUGCUCUAUGUGUUCGUUUGUUUGGUUAUCUUAACUUCAGCAUGCUUCUGUUCAAUAUAUGUCUACAUGUUUCCAUAUAGUGGUAAUUAAUAAGCCAAAUCAACCUCAGACAUUUGAAACCUUGUUGAUUCAAUUGUAUGCCUCUAUGAUACUGCAAAUAUGUAUAGUCAGUUCUAUUUGUAACUCAAGUGCCCAUGCUCUUUUGUGAUUGCUUUAGUUGACGCAGUAUUCAUACCAAUCUGUUUGGAUUCUGCUUGUCUAUGUAGAAUUCUAUUUCUGUUUGCUCCUGAAGAAAGACUGUUUUCUAAAAAACUAUCCCCUACCCCUUGCAUGUACUACCCUUUCAAAUUUUCACUCUUAGCUACCUAGGUUCCUACUACCUCCAAUGUGAGCACUGCCUACAGUCCCUAAGACUCCUUUGAACUCUGACACAUUGGAGAUGGAUUCCAAUCUCUUAUGAAUCCUGUGUUGAAUGUAUGGGUCCAGUGUGAGCAUUGCCCAGGAUCCUUGAGGCUCUUUGGGAACUUUGACAUACUGGAAGCAUGACUUAAGGUGUUAUGGAUCCUGCCACCUAUGUAUGUAUAUCAGACUUGCUUGCUUGAAGGCAUGGUUUCCAGGAUUGAUGUUGGGCCUUCCAAGGCUCCCUAUAGUGCAAUGAAUAACUUUGUGUAGUUCAUUCAUAUUGGUGUAUAAUAAUAAUCUUCGUAAAAAUGGAUUUUGGGGUUAUUAGUAAAUGGGGGGUCUAUUCUUACGUCUCUGUUGAAAUUGGGUAGGAAUCCUGCCUAUAGUACUUGAUUAUGCUGAUUGCAUUAUGUGAUAUUUAGAGAUCCUGCCUAUAGGAUUUUUUGAUUGUUUGACACUAUGCUGCACAUCUGCAUGUUAGAAAUCCUGCACAGUAGAAAUCCUUUUUAUAGGAUCUACACGUAUUUUCAAUUCAAUACACAGUAAUGACCAUGUCUAUAGGAUCUUGUCUGUUUGAAUAACCAUUUUCCCGGCAAUGUGCUUAAAGAAUUCUGCCUACGCAUGAGUAAUAGAGAUCCUGCCUAUAGGAACUAAAGUCACCUAGAUACCAUGCCUAUAGGAAAUAAGAUAAUCAAUUCUGCAUAUAGUUAUCAUGCCUUAGGAAAUAUCAGUUUUGCGCUUAGAUAUCAUGCCUAUAGUAAAUAAGCAUAAAAACACUUUCAACACUUAGAUAUCAUGCCUAUAGGAAAUACAUAUAAAAUUAGGUCUUGACACUUAGACGUCAUGACUAUAGGAAGUAAGUGUAAAAAACCAGUGUCUGUGUUUAGGUAUCAUGUCUAUAAGAAAUAAUGCUAUAAGCAGUUUCAACACUUAGAAAGCAUGCCUGUAGGAUUUAAAGAUAAAAAUCUGCCUAUUAAAAUCAACAAUUGGUUUGUAGCUUAGAUGUCGUGCUACAGGGUUCCGCCCGAUUAUCACUUAGGCUGGCCUAUAGGUUAAUUAAAAUUCUGGGUCUAAAACUGUGAUUGCUUGUUUGAAAUAUGCCCGGAAUCAGAGUAUUAACCAUAUUAGCAGGUAAACCGAUAGGUACUCGUCUACUCGCUUUAAGAUUGUUGUAUAUUCUAUUUUUGUGCUCAUUUAGACAUCCUGCGUAUAGGAUCCUAAAAUCAUUUAAAAUUGCUUAAUUGAACAACGUGCAUUUGUUUGUCUAUUUGUGGAGGUUAACAUGAUCCCACUUAAUUGCUUCUUAUGUGACAGUCCUACUUGCCUUUUUCUUGUCGCUGAGUUUUCUCCUUUUAAAAAACAUAGGUAAGUCUAGAACCGCCUUAAAUAGAGGCCCUAAACACUUCCAGGGUCAGAGGUAAGGGACGUGUAGUGCAUGCAUAAGGUACAUACUGGAUGCUAUUAUAACACUUAGGUAAUAAUUUAAAAGGGGAGGGUAAUUGGGUAGUAAAAGAAAAUGAUGACCUGUGCGCUAAUGCUAUGAGUAGCACCCCAACUUGGGGACGUUUGCCAAGUAUUGCACAGAAGUGAUACUAUAGGCUAAAAAACCUAGGACCCCCUUUUACUCCUUGUUUUAAAAGUAAUAUCUAUUUGUUUAAAUUGCUGUAUUUCCUUGUAAGACUAAUUCGCUUAAAUUGAGUUUGGCCGGGACCCACCGUUGUGGACCUCGAGGGGUGCCUAAACCUUCCCCUCAAGGUAAUUUCGAGACCUUACCCAAUCUCUGGUAACGUGAACUGGUUUCACGAGUUAAUUGUUCUAGGUUCCCUAACGCACCUAAUCCAUUAGGCGGCGACUCUUCAAUUCUCAUAAACAAUUCCCAAAAGGAAAGGAGUUGCCCCGAAAUGUCGAAACUCGGACUCUGCGAGGAAGAAGGGGGCGCGACAGCAUGGCGACUCUGCUGGGGAAAUUUUUAGGCUCUUACCAUAAGAAACUUGUUUUUUGUGAAUUAGUCUUAAGCAUGCUUUAUUUUGUUAAUACAUUUGCACCCUUUCCCCUUUGCCCCUUAUUUGGAUUUAAUUGCCAAUUUUUCAAGCAUUUAUGAUUUUCUUUAUUAUAGAAACUGACUUAUCUCCUUGUUUUCUUUCUUAAACGUCUUUCAAUUAUUAAAUAUCACAUUUAUCAUUAUUUUUAACGCGCAAAUACGUGACAACAUGCUAUUUAUUGUUGCAUAAAUCAUACUCGACAUCAUAUUCCACUCGUGCGUAAUCAAUCCUGUAGCAACACUUGAUGAGUGUUUGCGCCCUUCCCAUAUAUCACCCUUUAAAUUCGGAAAAGCGUAUUUGCGGUAAAACAAAUCGAUCAACGGUGCAGUCGAUGGUUCCGUGCCUUUCCCCCUCAAGUUGUCCAUUUGAGGGUGCCGGUCUAGACCUCUAUAGAAACCUUACUCUGAUUAAUUGAACAUGUAUCAUGGUCAAACCUAGCUGGGUUAAUAUGUUGUCCACAUAAUAACCCUUUAAGACAAGCCUUGUCCAAAUGUACAUUAGGUUUUCUAUAAUCCCAACGAAUGCAACCACGAUUGUGUGCAUUAAUUUUGGAGAAAUAAGUGCCAAUAUGCUAAUCAUUGUUAUAUAAAUAGUCAGAUCUGGGGGGGGGGGGAAGGGCCUAACCAUAUUUGUUUUGCAGAAAAUUAGGCACAAAGUCCCCAAGUUCGGCAUGGUCCAUAACAUACCACCAAUGUUGCUAGAUUGGUGGGAGGAUCUUCCAUUAAGUGAUAAGAAUCAUGUGAAAAGGGUCUUGGAAAGUUUUCCUUCUUUAUUGGACCUCCAGCCAAACAACAUGUUAAUCGAAGCUGCCAUAGUGUUCUAGGACAAAGAAAAAGUCAUGUUUCAGUUUGGAAACAUAGAAAUGACCCCUCUCUUGGAAGAAAUAGGGGGAUUCGCUGGGCUACCUUGGGAUAGUCCUAGUUUAUUGGUGCUGAAAAAUCGCACUACUAGGGGGUUUCUGAAGAUGAUGGGAUUAAAGAAGUGAUGACUUGGAGUGCUUGAAAAAUUCCUACAUACCCUCCGACUUCCUCUAUGAACGAUACGGUCACAACAGAGCUUAUUGUAUUUUUGAUGACGAAUUCUCCAUCACUUCCUUGGGUUGGAUUCAUCGUAGAGUUUGUGUUCAUCGUCUGUUUCUUGGGUAUGUUAGUGUUCCCGAUCUAAGGGGACAUAAUCCACACCAGACUGGCCACAUAGCCAAAAAAAUGAUGGAUAGGAUCGAGGGGCAGACAUAUAUCAUUGUCCCUAUGAUCAUAGAAGACAUGUACCGGGCCUUAGAGCACUGUCAGAAGGGGUACAAAUACUUCGAAAGUUGUAAUCUGCUGUUACAAGUUUGGUUGUUAGAGCAUCUCCCAAAAGGUCAAUACAGUCAAGAGCUUCCGCGAAGGCCGUGGAAUGACCACAUAGCUUUCCAUCAUCCUAAGAGGAUGACUUAUAUCCCAGAUAGGUUUUCUCAACCCGAAAAUACUAUAGGAUGGGCGCAGUUUUUCAGCAAUUUGACUGAGGAUCAGGUUCAAUGGAUGUUCGAAUGGUUCCCUACCGAUGAGUUCAUCAUUAGAUCUAGGGGGUUGAGGGACAUAUACCCUUAUGCUCCCAUCUGGGUUAUGAGACAGGUAGGCAAGAAGUAGGUCAUACUGCGAGUUGCUAAAAUGAGUCACUACAGGGCAGAUUUUCAGGAUGACGACGUCCCAUACAAAUGUGAAGAUCAGCACAUGUAGCAUUUGAAAAUUAUAGUGGAUAAGGACACCAUCGAGCUAGAUCGAUAUCAUGCUGGUCAUGUGUACUUUUACCCAUCAUGGUUAGAAGAUAACAUAGCAGGAAUAUUCAAGCCAAGGGUUGGUCCAGGAAAUAGAUUCAUAGUUGAAGUUGCCGAGGCACAAGUGAAGUAUAACAAACUGCACAAAAGUGUUAACAAGUCCGAGGCCGAGCAUCUAGAGCGACACAAGACCGAUAUGGAACUAAUUAAUGAAUGGAAGGAGAUGGCUGUUAAAUCAAGCGAAAGGUGGAAUAUCUGGAGUACAGUCUAAUGGAAUUGGAUGGAAAAAUGAGGAAGAGAGUCACCGAUUGCCGGAACGCCGAAGGAAGCCAAUGAGGACAUCUAGCAAGGACAUACCUACUAUCGAUCCUGCGCGAAAUGGGGAAUUUGAUCAACGAAGCCAAAAACAUCUAGCCUGGAGAAGGUCCUUCUGGGACCAAGUAGAUUAGGUUUAUUUGAUUUUUCAAAUGUAAUAAGGACAAAUGCCAUCAGUGACUUAUCUUAUUUAGUGUCGUAUUAGAUUCAUGUAUUUUUACAUAAAUGAAAUGAGUCAAUUAUUGGCACUGAAAUUCUCCGAAUCUAUUUAUCGCUAGGCCUACCUCGGGUACAACGAGGCUCCCAAAUUAGGACGCAGAUUUACAUUCCUGCAAUAUGUAUUUAAAUACUGCAAACAUUUUUUGAAUCAUUACUGAUUAGUUUACCUUUUGUUUUUUUAUUUUUAUUAUUACCAUCCCCUAAGGUUGGUUCGCACAUACUGGCAUCAUCAGCAUAUCACACCAGAUCUAAAGGCCCUCCACGUCCUCUUCCUCCGAGUAAUCCAAAAAGCAGAGGAAAAGAUAAGAUAGAUGAUUUAAGUGGUAUUCGAAAAAAAAAAUGCUGAGAAUAUUAAAACUUCAGACGGUCGGAGUACUCCGGCACAGAAUGAUUUUGUCCUACGAUUAGAGCAGAAAAUACUGAAAUUACAAGGAGAACUUAAGCAGGCCCGCAACUUGGCAAACUUCUCCCUCACUCUGAACGUCCCAAAUGUUAACCAACAAAAUCUUAAAACCCAGCAACUCCUCAAAAUACGCCAAACCAAUGUCCAUAAAAUUCUCCCGCACCCCAUCAAUACGCCACACGACCUCAAAAUCCCAAUCCUCUACCGGUACCAACUCCUCCACAACACCAUAAUCAACCAACCAAGUACCCACAAACCACUACCUAUCACUCUCCUCAGAACACACCACAAACUAUUCCCGAUCCUCAAAACUCGACCAACGACCAUCACUAUACCCAAAUCCAUAGCACCCACCAAAACAACCCCAUAUACGUGGAAACCUUACCUCACUCUACUCAACCAAUCUCCUAUACACCAGAAUCCGCUGAGAAGGACCUGCUCAUCAAGAACAUGGCCGAGGAGCUCAAGAAGUUAACAAGUCGAGUUUAGGGUGUUAAAGGAGGUAAAUGGAUAAAAGUUCUAAACUAUGAGGAUUUAUGCAUACAACCAGAUGUGGAACUGCUGAAGGGUUACAAACCUCCCAAGUUCGAAAUGUUUGAUGGAACGAGUGAUCCCAAGGUUCAUUUGAGAACUUAUUGUGACAAGCUCGUGGGGCUCGGAAAGGAUGAAAGGAUUCAAAUAAGGCUCUUCAUGUGAAGUCUUACCGGAGAGGCCCUGUCCUGGUACAUAAGCCAGAAUCCUAAGAAAUAGGCUAAUUGGGUGAGCAUGGCAUCAGACUUUAUAGACCAGUUCAGGUUAAAUAUGGAGAAUGCACCAGAUGUCUUCUAUAUCCAGAACCUAAAGAAGAAGCCAACUGAGACUUUCCGCGAGUAUGGUACUCGGUGGAGGUCAAAAGUAGCCAAGGUCAAACCAGCAUUAGAAGAGGAACAGAUGAACAAGUUCUUUGUCCGGGCACAUGACCCAAAGUAUUAUGAAAGGCUAAUGGUUAUUGAGAAUCAUAAGUUCUCUAAUAUCAUCAAACUCGGAGAGAGUAUUGAAGAGGGCAUUAAAAGCGGGAUGGUGACAAAUUUUGAGGUACUGCAGUCUAUGAACAAAACAUUGAAAUCAGGUGGCAUAUAAAGAAGAAAGAAGUAGGGGCAGUAAUGGUGGCCCAAGGGCCAAAAUCUCCACUCACAUACUAAACACUUCCACUUACAUACCAACCCUCACCUCCAGAUACUUUCUACGUGCCACCGUGUAUCACACUUAUAACACCUAGCCAGCCUACUAUCAUUCACCUUAAACUCGUCGAAAUUACUAGAAACCCUGACCUAAUUUUGAUCGCAAACCACCCAGACAAUACACCGCCAUUUCUGAACCCAUCGACCAGCUGUAUGAAAGAUUAAAGGCUGCUGGUUAUGUCACCCCUAUUCCCACGGUGGCAAUGGAGAAUUCAUCUCAAUGGGUCAACCCGAAUAAAACCUAUGCAUAUCAUUCCAGUAUGAAGGGGCACACUAUUGACGAGUGCCGGACACUAAAUGAUAAGAUUCAGAUGUUGAUUGAUAACAAGGUCAUAUAGGCGAAGAAAGCUGCACUUCCAGAUCAUAGGGCGAAUGGAUCAAUGUGAUUGAAACUGAUGAGGAGUGGGAUCCUGAGGGAUCAAUUGGACUUAUCAAAGAGGGAGACGAUCCUAAAAAGCCCUCAGUCAUGCUCAAUCCUAUUGUGGUCCAGGUAUAGUUUCCAGUUGAGGUUGAGGUAACCGUAUUGGUUCCAUUUGAGGUAGAAGUAACACCACCUGCAGCCACACCUAUUCCAUUUAAGGUAGAAGUGGCCACACCUUUCACAGUGACAGUAGCAACCACACCUCCUUUCAAGUCCAAAACCAUACCUUGGGGUAACAUUGCGAAGCUAGGUGAAAAGGAAUAGCAAAGAUGGAAGCAUCUGGUGCCGCACAGGAAAUGACCAGAACUGGAAGGAUCUAUACACUCGGAAAUUUGGGAGGACAAAGCAAGGAGGCUGCUACCAAACAACCUGUCAUUGAAACAGGACCGGACGAUCUUUGGAGGAAAGUACAAGCGAGGGAAUAUUCUGUCGUCGAUCAUUUAAACAAGACCCCCGCCUAGAUAACCAUCCUAUUACUAUUGCAAAAUUCAGAGGCUCAUAAGAAUGCUCUGAUGAAGGUGUUGAAUGAAGCUUAUGUGCCCAACAAUAUCACCAGUGGAGAGAUGACCAACAUGGUAGGGCAAAUAAUGGAAAGUCACAAGAUCACCUUCCACGAGGAUGAACUACCGCCUGAAGGGUUAAGUCACCAAAAGGGCACUGCAUAUCACGGUACAGUUUGAUGACAAAUUCAUUUCCAGGGUCCUAAUAGAUGGGGGUUCAAGCCGCAACAUUUGUCCAUUGACUACUCUAAAAAGAUUGGGAAAAGAUUUCCAUGUGUUACGGGCAGGAAGUAUGAACGUGAAAGCAUUUGAUGGGUCUCAAAGGGCCAUGAUUGGAGAGAUUAAACUUUCUCUACGGAUGGGACCAACUUGGUUUGAUGUUGAGUUCCAAGUACUAGACAUAUCAGCUACAUACAAUCCUCUAUUGGGUCGACCCUGGAUACAUGUCGCUGGGGCCGUAGCUUCCACGCUACACCAGGUGGUAAAGUUCGAAUGGAACCAUCGGAGGUAAUCAUUCACGGAGAUGGAAGUAACCCCAUUUAUACCAGUCAAACUAUCCAGGUUAUCGAGAAUAGAAGAAGGCUGGGUGGAAAAACUUAUCACCAUAUUGAACAUGUCAACGCAAUUGAGAAGGACAAGUGGUAGAGUAACAAAAUAGAAAGUAUACUAGCAUGGUCUGGGUAUGAACCCGACAAAGGGCUUGGGAAGGAACUCCAAGGCAUUACCAAACCGAUACAGUUGAAAGGUCACGACACAACUUUCGGGCUGGGAUAUCCAUACACCUGGCAAGAAUAUGAUGAUUGGUCACCUCCAUGGUAUGGUCCUUAUUACCCUCUCGAGCAGCCAGUACCACACCUAAGUCAGACUUUUCACCUGGCCAAUACAAUAUGGGGAUCUGCAGAGGAAGAAGCUUUGGCUAGGUUGAGAAACUUGUUCCUGGAAGACGAGAAUAUGGAUUGCAAUGUGAUAAUUGAGGAGGAGGAGGAAGAAUAAGGCCUCACCAUUCAGACUGUGGAGAAGAGAGCUGUUCUCAAGAAUUGGAUUGCCACACCAUAUACCGGGCCCGCCGAGUCCUUUAGUACCUUGGCAAUUAGGCUAAUUUGUUUUUAUAGCCAUGCUAGGCAUUUAAGAUAUUUUCAAUAAUUUUGUUUUAAGGACGCAUUUUGUUUCUAAAUAAUUACUCGAGUCAUCGAGCCGUACCUAUUUUGGAUAUUUUAAAAUUUAAUUAACGCACUGCUAUUUAUAUUUAUUAUUAUCUUUCACAUUUUUUCUACAACAUUAUUAUUACCUUCUGAUGAACCGAUGACUAUGACAUGUAAUGAGAAAACGCAAUAUAAGGAUAGUGACUCAGAAGAAGAAGAUGAAAUACCUGAGGAAGUUGUCAGAAAAGUUGAGAACUUUGAGAACAAACCUAAGUCCAACCUGGACAAAGCAAUCAAUUUGGGAGACACCGAAACUGUCAAAGAGACUUGCAUAAGCAUUCACUUAUCACCGUUAGAGAAGGAAGAGUACAUUCAUUUCCUGAAGUAAUAUGAGGAUAUCUUUGCAUGGUCAUAUCAUGACAUGAUCGGUCUGAGAACAUCCAUAGUGGUUUAUAAGUUUCCUACCAAUCCAAUGUGUCCGCCUGUGAAGUAGAAACUCAGAAAGUUCAAACUAGACAUGAGUCUGAAAAUCAAGGAGGAUGUCACUAAGCAGAUCAAAGCCAAACUCCUCAGGGGAUUCGAGUACCCAACCUGGUUAGCCAAGAUUGUACCUGUUCUGAAGAAAGAUGGGAAAGUCAGAGUGUGUGUCUUUACAAAGCAAGUCCUAAGGACAAUUUCCCACUGCCAAACAUACACAUCAUGUUCGACAAUUGCGCUAAGCAUGAAUUCCAAUCCUUUGUGGAUUGCUUCGCGGGUUAUCACUAGAUCUGAUGGAUGAAGAAGACGCAGAGAAAACAAUUUUCAUUACACCGUAGAGAGUGUACUGCUACAAAAUAAUGUCUUUAGNNNNNNNNNNNNNNNNNNNNNNNNNAUCAAAUCCAAGAAGGCCGCAGAUCAUAUAGAAAACUUGAGAAAGUUCUUUGACAGGCUAAGGAGAUACAACCUAAAAUUGAACCCCGCAAAAUGUGGGUUCUUACAGAAAAGCUAUUUGGAUUCAUUGUCAACCGCCGAGGAAUCGAGUUGGACCAGUCCAAAGUUAAGGCUAUCCAAGAAUUACCACCACCAAAGAGCAAAAAGGAUGUGAUGAGCUUCCUAGGAUGCCACAACUACAUCAGCUGUUUCAUAGCACAAUCCACAGUUAUAUGUGAACCCAUCUCCAAAAUGUUAAGGAAAGAUGCUAAAACCAGUUAGAUAGAGGACAGUCAAAAGUCUUUUGACAAAAUCAAGGAAUACCUGUCUACACCGCUAGUCCUAGUCCCACCAGAACUUGGGAGACCUUUGCUACUCUAUCUGUCCGUAUUAGAUGGAGCUUUUGGAUGUGUUUUGGGACAACAUGAAGAGACAGGAAGAAAGGAGCAAGCCAUAUACUACUUGAGUAAGAAGUUCACACCAUACGAAGCAUGAUACUCUCUGUUGGAACGCACUUUCUGUGCGUUGACCUGGACAACUCAAAAAUUGAGGCAUUACUUUUAUGCUUAUACCACGUACCUCAUAUCUAGGAUGGACCCUCUGAAGUACAUCUUUCAGAUGUCCAUGCCAACCGGAAAGUUAGCUAAGUGCCAGAUAUUGUUAAGUGAGUUCGAUAUCAUCUACGUAACUCAAAAGGCGGUCAAAGGACAAGCAUUGGCAGACCAUCUUGCUGAAAAUCCUAUGGGAGGAGAAUACGAACCAUUAAAAAUGUAUUUUCCUGAUGAAGAAGUAUCAGUCGUAGGAGAGGACAUUGCUGAAGCCUACGACGGUUGGAGAAUGUUCUUCGAUAGGGAUACAAACUUCAAAGGAGUAGGAAUUGGAGCAAUUUUGGUAUAAGAAAUAGGUUAAUAUUACCCAGUAUCUGCAAAACUUAGGUUUCCGUGCACCAACAAUAUGACAGAAUACGAGAGUUACUGGUAAUCGGCGAUUCAGAUCUUUUGGUACAUCAGGUUCAAGGAGAAUAGGUUACAAUUAACACCAAGAUACUACCAUACUUGUAUCAUGUGCAUGAAUUGAUGAAGAGCUUCAUAAAUAUAGAAUUCAAACAUGUGCCCAGAAUUCAAAAUGAGUUCGCAGACGCACUGACCACCUUGUCAUCAAUGAUACAACAUCUGGAUAAGAAUUUUAUCGACCCUAUCACGGUGAAGAUCCAUAAUCAACCGGCUUAUUGUGCUCAUGUUGAAGAAGAAACAGAUGGAAAAUCUUGGUUCCACAACAUCAAACAAUACUUGAUAAAAGGGUAAUAUCCAGAAAACAAACCAUACUAAGAAACACACAUUGCGGAGGUUGUCCAAUCACUUCUUCCAAAAUGGAGGGACCCUGUAUAGAAGAACUCCUGAUCUGGGGUUGUUAAGGUGUAUUGACGCAAAGGAGGCUUCCAGAUUGCUUGAGGAGAUACAUGCCGGAACUUGCGUACCAAAUAUGAACAGUUUUGUUCUAGCCAAGAAGAUACUUAGAGCUGGAUAUUUUUGGAUGACCAUGGAAACAGAUUGCAUCCGGUACGUCCAGAAAUGUCACCAAUGCCAGGUACAUGCAGACAUGAUAAGGAUACCACCAAAUGAGCUCAACGCAACAAAUGCACCUUGGCCUUUUGCUGCUUGGGGAAUGGACCUCAUUGGCCCAAUUGAGCCUACCGCUUCUGACGGGCACAUGUUCAUUUUAGUGGCUAUCGACUAUUUCACAAAAUGGGUAGAGGCUGCAUCUUACAAAGCUAUAUCUACGAAAGUCAUCGUACAUUUUGUCAAGGAUCAAAUUGUUUGACGAUUCGGGGUUCCUGAGUCCAUUAUCACUGAUAUUACCACCAAUUUCAACCGUGAUCUAAUGAAAGCCAUAUGUGAAACCUUCAAAAUCAAGCACAAAAACUCUACAACAUACAAGCCUCAAAUGAAUGGAGCUAUGGAAGCUCCAAACAAGAACAUCGAAAAGAUACUAAGGAACAACAACAACAACAACCCAGUAAAAUCCCACAAGUGGGGUAUGGGGAGGGUAGUGUGUACACAGACCUUACCCCUACCCCGAAGGAUUAGAGAGGCUGUUUCCGAAAGACCCUCGACUCAAGAUAAUAAAAAGAAGACAAAAGGAGAGGAUAUUAGAUUCAUCAUGGAAAUCGUAGGAAAAAUAGGAACAUAAAAUGCAGAAGAAAAAUGCAAAGCAAAAACGGUGGCUAGUAAAUGGAUCCAACAUCAAAAAAGAAAAUAGUAAGACACGACAUUGCCCCUAGCUCUCUUAGACAAAACCCUACUAGACUAGGCUCACAAAGGUACAAAGUAAUGCAAGACUGAACUACCUCCUAGCCUACAACCGUAAUACUCGACCUCCACAACAUCCUAUCAAGUUUCAUGUCCUCAGCACGAGAAGUUACCCUUUUCCCUAUCGGGGUACCGUACCAUGGUCAGCACAUCAACUGGGAAAACUCCUUAUUUACUGGUUUAUGGUACCAAAGUUUUCAUUCCAGCCGAGGUAGAAAAUCUUUCUUUAAGGAUCAUACAAGAAGCCGAACUCAGUAAUGCAGAAUGGAUAAGGAACCGCUAUGAGCAACUAGCCCUCAUAGAUGGAAAAAGAAUGAAUGCAGUAUGUCACGGUCAGCUUUAUAAGAAUAGAAUGUCCAGAGCUAUCAACAAAAGGGUUAGACCGUGACAAUUCACACCGGGGCAGCUGGUGCUGAAGUAGCUCUUCCCACAUCAAGAUGAAGCCAAAGGGAAAUUUUUACCGAACUGGCAAGGUCCUUACUUAGUUCACCGAGUUCUAACAGGAGGGGCACUCAUAAUUGCAGAAAUGGAUGGAGAGGUUUGGCCAAAACCUAUCAAUUCAGAUGUAGUCAAGAGAUAUUAUGUUUAGAUUGUUUACAUUCAUUCAUCUGAUAUAACUGAACUACGNNNNNNNNNNNNNNNNNNNNNNNNNNNNNNNNNNNNNNNNNNNNNNNNNNNNNNNNNNNNNNNNNNNNNNNNNNNNNNNNNNNNNNNNNNNNNNNNNNNNNNNNNNNNNNNNNNNNNNNNNNNNNNNNNNNNNNNNNNNNNNNNNNNNNNNNNNNNNNNNNNNNNNNNNNNNNNNNNNNNNNNNNNNNNNNNNNNNNNNNNNNNNNAAACUGGGGCAGAAUUUUGAGGAGGACCCUCAAAAUUCCGGAACGAGUCCGGCCGGUGCCAUCAUAUGCAAGACAGUUAAGUGAUUGGGGCAGAAUUUUGAGAAGGAUUCUCAAAAUUCCAGAGCAGAUUCAACAAACUUCGUUACACAAAAAUGACCAAAGGAUCAUUCAUCAAACUGGGGAAGAAUUUUGAGGAGGACCCUCAAAAUUCUAAUGCAAGGAAGCCGCAAUGUCUCUAAAAGUGUCACAGUCAUUAGUUCAUCUAAUUUACUUGAUGUCAUAUACCACUAUAUUUUCUAAAAUAAUUCUCUUUCAUCAAUAAGUACAUAUUUUCGAAAAUAUUAUUUCUGUGACAGCUAGGUGUUACCCAAGGUAACUCGAACAGGGUCCCUAGAGCAGAGCAAGUAGACAAGAGCUUGAACCAACCUUCCUCUACAAAACUCAUGACGUUUCUUUGGAUGCAGGCACAGUGAACAUAACUGGAGUAUUCACAAAUAUACACAAAUCAAAGUCACUAUCCUUAUAACAAUUAGGCCACCUGACGCAAAUAUAGAUCCAGCUAAGAAAUAUUCUACUCCUAUUUGCUACUUGUUCACUGCAUAAGGCUAAGAAUUGCCUUCUCUUUGCAUGAGACUAAGCCCUGUCUCAAAUCUUGCAUGAGGCUAAGCAUUGCCUUCUCUUUGCAUGAGACUAAGCCCUGUCUCAAAUCGUGCAUGAGGCUAAGCCCUGCCUCCAUACCUGCAUAAAGCUAAGCAUUGCCUUCUCUUUGCAUGAGACUAAGCCCUAUCUCAAAUCUUGCAUGAGGCUAAGCCCUACCUAUAUACCUACAUAAGGCUACGCAUUGCCUUCUCCCUACAUGAGGCUAAGCCCUGCCUCCCUACCCGCAUGAGGCUAAGCAUUGCCUUCUCUCUGCAUGAGACUAUGCCCUGUCUCAAAUCUUGCAUGAGGCUAAGCCCUGCCUUCUUAUUUGCAUAAGGCAAAGCACUACCUUCUCGUGAGAUUAAGCAUUGUCUCCCUCCGCAUAAGUGUUGCUCCAUUUUCAAAUUUGCAUUAUCUUCUUUUCUCGGGGCUAAGCUCUGCCCCCAAACUCUACAUGAGGCUAAGCGUUGCCUUGUUAUUACCUUUGGCAUCAUGUCUCUACACUUCAUAGGCUGAUAUAUAGCCAACAUAGUUCAAAGGCAUCAUCCUCAUAACCUGAAGACACCAUGUCAUGGCCUGAGGAUCUCUCAAUACUGCACAUUAUCAUUCAAAGGCGUCAUGAUUCAGAGGCACCAUUUUCAUGGCCCGAGAACAUCAUUUCAUGGCAUGUGAAUCUCUUAUCUCAUGAUUCAUGGCCCGGGAUAUCAUGGUCUAAGAACGUCAUCUUCACUAUCCAAAGACAACUUUCAUGGUCCAAAGGGAAUUUGCAUCAUGUUUAAAUUAUUGCAAUAAUCUAUAUACUCGCAUGCAUCACGUUUUAAGUUCUGCAGGAAGUCCAGGAGGUAACCGUUCUUCAAACAGGAGCAACUUUCGCUCCGGUUUUCGCUUGCACCACUUACACUCUGCCAUUUAACCGAUUCCCAUCAAAUACCCACCUUUACUCAAUGACCGUUCAGAUAUCUGCCCUAUGAUACAUCCAUUACGCUUCAGACUCAUAUUCAUAACUUAGCAUAAACUCAUAAUACUAUCCUCCCCAAAAGGAACCAUCCGAAACAUACUACCAUUCCUAUAACAAUUCCAUCGGCUUCAUUCACCGUUGGGUACAGAACUACACAUGGUCUGAUUCCUCUAAAACCAUGGAUAUAUAGGCAGUUCAGAGACUAGGGUGUGGCCUCUAUUUUUCAAAACACCUCAUUCGGUUAAAAUCGGUCAUCAUUUCUUUACCUGACAACUCUUUCAUCCUUCCCGGGUAAAGAGGGGCAACUGUUGAUACCCAAAUUCUCCCUCAUAUAUUUUUAACAUGCAUAUAUAUUUUCAAAAAUAGUGCACAUGCAUUUACAAACAUGCACAAGGAUUUCGAUAUCUUUUUCCAUAAUUUUAAAGGCUUUCAACCAAUUUAUUUCUGUAUUUUUACUAUACAAAUAUCCAAUAAUUAUACCUCAUAUUAUUUUUAUGAUGAUUUAGCCAUUUAAAUUUAGCAUUUAUGCCCAUAUAGUGUUUAAAUAUUUUAAUUGUAUUUUUAUAAUUAUGUUUGCAUUUUUUUAAGGUUAGAGUUACACAUUUUUGCAAUAAUAGCCUACAUAUACAUGCAUAAUUAUAUUAUUUACAUGAAAAAUGAAUUUUUAUAUUUUUAUAAUAUUAAGUAAUUAUUUUGAAUCAUUUACAUGAAUAAAUGAUAUUUUUAUCAUUUAUAAAUAAUUUUAUAAAAUUAUUUUAAAUAAUUAAAUGGGUAUUUAAAACAUAGCUUUUUUUUAAAAAAAAUCGGACCUAGCCCAAAACUACCCUAGCACACUUAAAUAUAACCCAUAACCCAAUCUCCAAAUAACCCGUCGCAACCCAGAUGGAAUCCUGGCUGUUGAUAUCAGAAGAUCAACGGCCCAGGAUUCAUUUCCUUUUUUAUUAACCAAACGACCCCCCAAACCCUACCCAUUUUCUCAAACACUGUCGCCCCUGAAUUCCUACCUACUCUCUUCUCUCUCAACCUCUCCCUAACCCUAGUCUACCAUCACUUGAACCCCCUUCAAUCCAUGGGGUUUCUCUUCGAUCUUACGCCCUAACCGGCCUCUUAUCUCUAUUGGUUGUUCAAUCUCUUUGUUGUUUGAUGGAAUCUCAAGGGGAUUCGAACAGAUUUGGUUAAAAUCCCUCAAUCUUUGGAUGCAUCCGCCUGUAUUCACCAUUUGUUCGUGAGUAUUAUCACUUUUGUGUUUUCGUGGCUUCAAAUCUCCGGUCUAAAACUCAAUUUUUACACCUUCGUUCAUUUCUGUACAGACCUAGCUAUUUUUGGUCGAAUAGGUUUAGAUAUCUUUAGAUCUGGAGUGUUUGGGGUUUGUUUAACCAUUUUCCUUUAUGGUUUUUUCAUUUUUACCGCUAUUAUCUACCGAUUUCACUUUUUUCCUUAGAACUAAGGUUUCAUCUUUUAAGUUUUUGCAAAUAUUUAAAACAUUUAAAGGUUCAACCAUGGACUUUUUUCUUUACUACUCGACUAGUUUUCAUGCUUGAUGUUUCAUCUCUGUGUUUCAAUAUGCUUAAAGUUUUCCAUUAUUCGAUUAUUUGUCUCAUUGUUCUUGCCCGUUCACUUUGGCCUGGUUAAAUAAAUUGGUUAAUUGAUUUAUUUACCUAAUUAGGAUUUGAAAUUAUAAAUGACCCCUGACUUAUUUCUUACCUUAUUAAACUUCAAUCUUGCCGGUUAAUUGAUUCUCCCUAAUCUAAGUGAUAUUUUCCCGGAUUUUGUCAUAUUAAUUGAUUAGGUUUAGCCCUAAUUAACUAGUUGAAUGAUUUACAUACCUUAUUUGUGAGCUCUUAAUUUUCUUUGCCUUAUUUGUCAUGCUUUGCUUAUAUAAACCUCAUCAUUCUGAUUUUUUAAAGAUACGCUCAGACUCAGACAUCUAUACUUACAAGCACACACUGAUACACACUAACAGUUCUUUGAUUUGUUGCACUGUCUAGCUGGCUGAGAGCCAAGGCUAGACCCUUGGAUUUCAUUCGUCUUCACCUUCCUGUUUGCUAUCUCCUUAGCUGGUAUGCCUCCAUUUCUGUUAUCAUGUUCUCUUCUAUAUGCUAUGUAGUUAGACUUCAACAUGAUUCUGUUUGCCGUAUGUCUUCCUGUUUACUACUCUCUUAACUAAUAUGCCUCAAUUUUUAUUACAAUGCUCUAUUCUAUAUGCUAUAUAGUUAGUUCACAAUAGACAUCAACACAUCUCUGUUUCAUGUUUGUUUCUCUCUGAACUAGCAUGCCUCAAUUCCUGUUAGCCUACCCUGUUCUGUAUGCUAGUAUGUAUAGUUUAUCUUAACAUGUUUCUGUUUGAUCCAUGAUUUCUAUGUACUUCUUUCUAGACUAGUAUGCUUUAAUUUCCUACUAUCCUUCUCUAUGUGUUUGUUUGUUUGGUUAUCUUAACUUCAACAUGCUUCUGUUCAAUAUAUGUCUACAUAUUUCCACCUAGUAGUAAUUAAUAAGCCAAAUCAACCUCAGACAUUUGAAACCUUGUUGAUUCAAUUGUAUGCCUCUAUGAUACUGCAAAUAUGUAUGGUCAGUUUUGUUUGUAACUCAAGUGCCCAUGCUCUUUUGUGAUUGCUUUAGUUGACACAGUAUUCAUACCAAUCUGUCUGGAUUUUGCUUGUCUAGGUAGAAUUCUAUUUCUAUUUGCUCCUGAAGAAAAACUAUUUUCUAAAAAACUAUCCCCUACCCCUUGCAUGUAUUACCCUUUCAAAUUUCCACUCGUAGCUGCCUAGGUUCCUACCACCUCCAAUGUGAGCACUGCCUAGGGUCCCUGAGACUCAUUUGAACUCUGACACAUUAGAGCUGGCUUCCAAUCUCUUAUGAAUCCUGUGUUGAAUGUAUGGAUCCAGUGUGAGCAUUGUCUGGGGUCCUUGAGGCUCUUUGGGAACUUUGACACACUGGAAGAAUGGCUUAAGGUGUUAUGUAUCUUGCCACCUAUGUAUAUCAGAUUUGCUUGCUUGAAGUCCUGGUUUCUAGGAUUGAUGUUGCGCCUGCCAUGGCUCCCUAUAGUGCAAUGAAUAGCUUUGUGUAGUUUAUUCAUAUUGGUCUAUAAUAAUUCUCUUUGUAAAAAAAGAUAUUGGGGUUAUUAGUAAAAGUUGGGGGUGGUCUAUUCUUACAUCUCUAUUAAAAUUGAAUAGAGAUCCUGCCUAUAGGACUUGACUAUGCUGAUUGCAUUAUGUGAUGUUUAAAGAUCCUGCCUAUAGGAUUUUAUGAUUGUUUGACUCUGUGCUACACAUCUGCAUGUUAGAAAUCCUGCUAUAGGACUUUACGUUUAAUUCUGCACAUUAGAAAUCUUAUUUAUGGGAUCUGCACGUAUUUUCAAUUCAAUGUGCAGUAAUGACCAUGUCUAUAGGAUCUUGUUUGUUUGAAUAACCAUUUUCUUGGCAAUGUGCUCAAAGAAUUCUGCCUACGCAUGAGUAAUAGAGAUCGUAUCUAUAGGAAACUAAAGUCACCUAGAUACCAUGCCUAUAGGAAAUAAGAUAAUCAAUUCUGCAUAUAGUUAUCAUGCCUUGGGAAAUAUCAAUUUUGCGCUUAGAUAUCAUGCCUAUAGAAAAUAAACGUAAAAACACUUUCAACACUUAGAUAUCAUGCCUAUAGGAAAUACAUAUAAAAUCAGGUCUUGACCCUUAGACAUCAUGCCUAUAAGAAGUAAGUGUAAAAAAACCAGUGUCUGUGUUUAGGUAUCAUGUCUAUAAGAAAUAAUGCCAUAAUCAGUUUCAGCACUUAGAAAGCAUGCCUGUAGGAUUUAAAAAUAAAAAUCUGCCUAUUAAAAUUAGCAAUUGGUUUACAGCUUAGAUACCGUGUCUACAGGGUUCCACCCGAUUAUCACUUAGGCAGGCCUGUAGGUUAAUUAAAUUUCUGGGUCUAAAACUGUGAUUGCUUGUUUGAAAUAUGCCUAGAUUCAGAGUAUUAACCAAAUCAGUAGGCAAACUGAUAGGUACUCGUCUUGUUACGGCCAUAAUAUUACGUUGAUAUUAUGUCCGACAAUAUUAUAUUACGAUAAUGUUACAUCCUGCACUAUUAUAUUACGAUAAUGUUACGCCUUGCAGAAUUACAUUACGAUGAUGUUACGUUUUUCAGUAGUAAAUUACAAAGAUGUUGCACCCUAUAAUAUUGUACAUUGAAUUUAUCGUAAGGUAAUUGACAUCAAUCCAAGGAAAAGAUUAUUCAGACAUUAUAAGGAUUAUGCUAUUUCAAAAGUGAUGAGUAAAUUCGUAAAGAUGAGAGCGGAAGCAAGUCAAAGAAAAUAAAUUUUGGUCCAAGUUUGGCAUGUUGGGAUAAUAUACGGGCCGAGCGUUAAUACCCGAUAUUUAUGGACUAGUACCAUACAAGGUACCAUAUGACCAUGAUAGUAUGAUAUAUAUAUAAGGGAAUUAAAAAUAAGUAGAAUUUUAAGUAAUUUGAGAUAAUUCUUAAUUAUGCGGGAAAUUGGUUAAUUACCGGGUACCGGGACAUUACCUAAUUAAUUGGGGAUAUAUUGGAUAAGUAUGUAACAAGUAUGAGAUGGCAGCCCCUCCUUUAAUUUAAAAUGACUCAUAAAUCAUUACUAAUAGGUGGCAUGAAAAUGGAAAAGGUUUCACACCUAAGGUGACACCAAUUUUCCAAUGAGGGACCCACCUACGCUAAAGAUACCAAUCUCCAAAAAUUAGAAUUCACUUACUACACUUCUUCUGAAAGAGUCCAUGAACUUUUAGGAAAAUUAUGUCUCAAACUUAAUAGUCCAGCAAGAUGUUCUUACAUAGAAAUCACGUUCAAACAUUCUAAUAUGCAAAUGCAUAUUAUAUAACAUAAAAGCUACGCCCAUGCUUUCAAAUUAACAUGAGAUUUUGCAAUAUUAACGGAGUACGGUGUAAUAUUUCUCAAGACAAUCGACUCAGGUAUGUUAAGGCAAUCCCUUCUUUCUUUUGGCAUGAUCCAUACGAUACAAACGAAGCGAGAAAUGCAUAACUUUCACAAAUGACUCUAUUCAUAGAAGUAUUAAAAAUGCCUACGUUCUUGAAUUCCCAUAUGUCCUAUUAUUUUAUCCUCUAUUCAUGAGUCUCAGAAAAAUACGUAAGUUGAAAAAUUUUACUUCAUGAUAUUACUCAAAGACAUAAUGGUCUUAUGACAUUCCGAAAGAUUUUAUUAACGCACUUCUCAUGCAAUGCAUUCAUGUACAUUGACCCAUGACUAGAUGGCAAGAUAUACACAUAUAUAUGUAUAUUAUAUGUAUAUGGUAAAUGGGAAAAGGUUACGACGUUAUAUACGCACCAUCACCUGAUCAGCUGGUAUACGUUGAUUAUUUUGCCCAUAGUGGCCGAGAUGGUAUGAUGGGAUGCCCUCAGAGGCUGAUGAUGUUAUGAAACAUGUACCUAUGCUCGACACGACAUUCAUAUACAUAUGCAUGACACUAUAAGUAUUUCAUGAUUUACAAAGUUUUCCAGACUUACAGGUUGAGUUAUUUACUCUAUAUUUCUUCUAUGUCUGUUAUGUACUUAUUUAUAUGCCUUACAUACUCGGUACAUUUUUCGUACUAACAUCCCUUUUGCCUGGGGACGUUGUGUUUCAUGUCUGCAGGUCCCGAUAGACAGGUAGAGAGCCCUCCAACUAGGCUAUUAGCUCAGUGGAAGAUGUUGGUGCGCUCCAUUUGCUUCGGAGUUUCUUGUUUAGUUAGUAUGAUUUAGAUGUGUACUGUUUGGUAUGGUGGGAUUCUGUCUCGACCUUUAUGAAAAUUAUGUAUUCUUAGAGGCUUAUAGAUAGAUGUCAUGUACGUAAAAUAUUGUAUGGCCUUGUCAGCCUAUGUUCAGUAUAUGAGUGGUUAUUUUGGCCUUAUAGACACGUAUGUCUUAUGUAUAAAUUGGUAUCACAUGUUGUAUUCUACUUAACUUAUGGCAGCCUUCCGGCUCAGUUAUCUGUGAUAGUAUAACAUGAAAAGAUACGUUAUGUUGGUACUCAGUUGGGUAAGGUAUCGGGUGCCCGUCGCGGCCCAUCAAUUUCGGUCGUGACAAAAGUGGUAUCAGAGCAGUUCUGUCCUAGGGAGUCUACUAGCCGUGUCUAGUAGAGUCUUGUUUAUGGGUGUGUCGUGGACCACACUUAUAAGCAGGAGGCUACAGGGCAUUUAGGAUUUUUACUCUUUCUUCUUACUCUAGAUCAUGUGGUAGAGCUCAUUUGUAAGAAUUCAAACUCCUAACUUCUAUUUUAUUCGUAAUAAGACGAUACCUACAUCCAUAAAGACAGUUGGUAAAAGACAUGGCUAUGGGAGAGUUGAGUUAGAGGAACUCUAAUUUGCAUCAUGCUUAUGAUAAGUAAAUGUGAGGUCUUCAACGGAUCAUGUGCGUACUGAAAGGUGUAAGCCUCUUGAUAAUGAGUCUUGAGGCAAGAAUACCUAUCUACCUUAAUGGUGAAAGAUAAUGAGAGAUUCGAAAGAUAAAUACAAGUUUCAACAAGCAAAAGAAGUAAGAUGAAGAAGAGUACGAGGCGCCAGUUAAUGAAGGUUAACAAUGUUUAUAGUUCUGGCAGAGGAAUGUAAGCUUUUUGAGUUAUAUUCAAUAGUAACAUAGGUAUGUACAAUUGGCCGUACCCAUCUCAAUUACGCCCUGUGGGGGCCAACAAGUAUAGUUUAAGAAAAGGACGGAACAUCAGGAUCUGGUUGGGGUAGAGUAACCCAAAAUGGUGAAUGGAUUGUUUGUGUUAGUUGACAUUUUUGAAGGGUAUUACAAAUGUGCUAAUAGAUCUUCUUGUGAGAUACCCAGAUGGUGCACUCUAGAACAUUACAAUUAGAUGUGAAUGCUAGCAUGAUAAUAAAAAAUCAGAAGAUAGGCACUGAAAUUCUGGAAGGGAUAAAUAUUACCUUAAUGUGACUCUCGUCCCUAGUAGAGCAAGGACGUUGAGCAACCCGAAGAGCCGAUAGAUGAAGUAAGGGGAGCAAAAAGCAAAAGAAUGUCUUGCUGAAAUUUUCACAAGAAAGGAUAGGCAAAAAUAUUAGCAGAGUAAUGAGAAGAGUGACAAGGAAGAAUUAUGAGUAAGAUGCGAUACAUGGAUGACAAUGGUAGAUCAAAAAGAUGAUGGUAUUACCGGGCCCAUAGUUAGGUGAAGGAAGAGAUGAGAGGUGAUAGGCCUUAAGACAACAAAAGAGUAUAGGCCACAAAGUCAUAUCCUCAUUUCAAGAAGUAAGUUUGUGACCUAAUGUGAUUACCAAUAGGAAAAGAUAGACCCUAGAAUAAUAGAUAUCAGUAUGAGCUAGUGAACAAGAUAAAGUAAACAUGAAUUAGGGAUUUAAUGAUUUGAUAAUGGUCGACAUCAUGAGAAUUUCAGAUUUCAUACCGGCAAUAAUAAAAUGGACAACAGAAUAAAAUUCAUGAGAAAUUCAGAGAAUGGUCAUUCAGGAAGACGCUUCCCUAAAGUAAGCAAUGUGAGUAAAAUUAAGCUUAAGAGACUAUAUGUGCCAGUUAUAGUAAUUGUCACCUCGUGAGUAAGGAAUUUCGUUAUCCUUAGUACAGAAGGAUUACCACAAAGAGAGUAAGGGUUAUUGAUGAUGUGAAAGGAUGCCAAAAAUGAAGAGGUAGAACAUUUAUAGGCAGAUCGUCGUAACUCCAACUCUUAGUACUCCCUUAAAGGGGGGAAUAUGGAAUGAUGUGGCAUUAAGCCAGAAUUAAGUGGUUCUAGUAAAUAUGGAAUGAUAAAGAAAGAAUGUGAUAAAAAUGAGAAAGGGAUGAGAUGAUCAAAUGUUACAGAUAUACUAUGAUUUCAGAACAUUAUGUAAGCACGACGUUAAGAAAAGGAAGUAAGGGUUCCCGUCCGGGAUGUUAUUGAACGAUAAGGAGCCAGUACGUGAGGUAAGUUAAGACAAAGGAAAUAACCCAAGAAAGAUUAUGCGGAAUAUGGAUAUGAGAAUGGGCCAACGAGUAGUUAGUAGUAGAUUCAGGAAGAGCCUAGUCAUGAAUAGACAAGAAGUUACAGACAAAUCAACAGAUCAUGUAAGAUAAAUGUAGUAAACCUUGAUAUGGAGAAUUCAGCCUCGCAUUAAUGUCAUUAUAAUACUUGAGAUAUAUUCAAAUAGGAGUCGGGGUAGUUAAACGCACUGUAUGAGUGUUACGGGGAUAAAAGAGAGUGUCACUGGGAAGACAGUCAAAAUGCCAGUUCAGAAGAAACCCCACAAGCACAAGGGCAUAAAGAUAAGUAACUACGGAUAAGUAUAGGCAAGGAAGGACAUUAGAAGGUCCGUCGAAUAUACAAUUUAAUAAGCUCACAACUUUACAAGAGUUAGAGGAUCCUCCCUAAGUACUACAAUGAAAGACUAAGAUAAGAAAAAUAAGGAAGAAGGCUUCAACCUGAAGUUAGUGGCCUAAAGAGAAAAUGUUCUUAUUACAAUAGUCUCACAACAACAUUGUAAGAACUCCAAAGAAAGUGGCACCUACCGUGGCUAAUGAACGGGAAGUAAAAUUAAAGAUAAUAUUCGAGAUCAUAUAUGUUGCAAAAAAAACUUUGGCAUGCGUGAGAACUCAGAUAAGCUAAGUAUGCACGCAAAAGGGGGAAAAAAGACCAGGAAAAGCAAUUGCUUACAUUUGAAGAAAGCCGAAAUGGAAGGAAAGGAAUUAUUCGAUUAAUGAUCAGCCGUAGAUGACUCCGGUAUAAGUUUAAAAAAAAGAAUUGAGCCUAGGUUAGAGACAAAGGAUUUGGUUGUUAGAGGAUUGUAUCAUGGGUAUUCCAAAGUGUCCAUGAAAGGCUAAAGCAAUAACUAAUACCAUGAGCCGCAGAUUGGAAGAUAACUUAAUCUAAAAACUGAUCAGAAGGAAGAAGAAAAUAAAGAGUUAUAUCAACGAAGUAAAUCAGGAGUCUGAUUAUUGGACCUAGAAAAUUAUAAACCUCGUGAUUGAGAUUAUUGAAGGAUCACUCUUAAUAUCACAAGUCACAUAGUACAACAACUAUAUUCUAUAACGUUUCUACGAUGAAGCAAAGUCAGAAUAGUACCAACCUCAUAAAAAGUUAGUACGAAGCACCCACCGGAUUGUAUAUGCACCGAAGGUGCAAGUAUUAUAAUAGAGCUUCAAGUUGUAGUGUGAAUCAUACCUAUGUGGAGGGGAGGUUAUGAAAGAGAAAUAAGAUAUGAUGUGAGAUUUUAAGUAAGUAAGGUAAAGGUGAACAACGCACGAGAUACUCAAAUGCAGAAGGUUGUGAAUAGUCAAUACUUCGGAUAGAAGGCUAGAAGCGCGAGAAUUCAAUAACCGGGAAUGAUAGCGACAUCAUCAGCGGUAUCUCUUCCAUCCUAUGGUUUCUAUGUACCGGGAGGUAUAGUUAAGAGAGUAGAGAAGAGUUAGAGACAAUGUGAUGUCUCGUUUGACGUUCCAGAAUAACAUAAGGAAAUCUAUUGUGCAAGCAAGUUGAAGGAAUGUUGCGAGUAGUAUAAAUGGAUAUGUAUAGGUCGCAAGCUAAAGUAUGGUAGAGCGACAAAAUUUUAAGAAGACAUAAGUAAGGAUUUGGAAAGCCAAAUGAAAAGGUGACGAGAAUGGAUAAGUCCUUAGGAUUAUGUCCAUGAAAACAAGAGAGCUAAUGGUUUAUCUAAGUUAUAGAAAGUUCAGUAUAGCCUGAAUGAACUCAAAGGAUUCUAAGACUAAUAACAUUUGGAAGAAAUGGAAUGUUGCCCUGUUAAUGGAAUGAGGGUGUAAUUGUUAUAAGUAAAGGAUGACAUUUGGGCCUUCGAUUGAUUAAUGAUUUGAAAACAAUAAAAAAAAAGAGGGGGAUUUCAUGAGUUGCACAUGAUUAAAAUACCCACGUAAGGUGAAUCAUAUUUGGAUGCUAUGAAAUACGAUUAUAGAAAUCACUUCAAAUAUUUGUCGAUGCAACGUAAGCCCCAGUGGCAAGGUAUUACGUAAGAAGUUUCAAGUUAUCAAUGGUAUAUUGUAGAUCAAUAUUGAGGCGAAUUAUAAUGGAUGGACAAAAGUCACAAAGUAUGAGUUGAGAUUAGGUCAUCAUUCUUAAGAUGAAUAGUAAUGAGGAAGCAUUAAAUGACUUAGCCUUAUGCAUAUGGGAUACACAACGAGAGUAAACUGGAGUUUGGUCGCAGACCUCAGUAACGACAAAUCGAAGUAAGAAAGAUGGUAUAGUAACCUACUUAGAUGCAGUAAAAUCAUACGAAUGGAUAAUCGAGUCUAUGAACUAAGAUAUACCAAUAUUCGUAAAUUCGACAAAGCAUUGAGCAAAGAACUUCAGUAUACUUAUAGAUGCCCAGAGGGACAUCUCACCAAGCUCUGUAUAUGUUCACAGAAUGAGGCCUAAAGAUUGGCUAAAAGCUGGAUGAAAAAGGAGAGAGGAUCACAUGGGCGUACUUACAAUGUUAGAGUCAUACAUGCUGCAUGAAAGAAGGUAGCAACAGUUACGAGUUUGGAACGAUUCAGGCCACAAGUCGUGGCGUGAGAAAGAGGCCUAAAGGGGGGAAUACCCUAGACUUUGGAUUUAUUCACAAAACAACUCUCUAAAUGGUAAGGAGAGUAUCAAGGUAUUCACAAGAGCUAUACGUUAUGAAAAUAAUAAGAGCAUCAGUCAACAUUCGAGGACGAAUGUUCCAAAGGGGGGAAUGAUGUUAUGCCCCACAAUAUUAUGUCGAUAUUACGUCCAACAGUAUUAUAUUACGAUGAUGUUACAUCCUGUAGUAUUAUAUUAUGAUGAUGUUAUGCCUUGCAGAAUUACAUUACGAUGAUGUUACGCUUCGCAGUAUUAAAUUACAACGAUUUGCACCCUGUAGUAUUGUACGUUGAAUUUAUCGUAAGGUAAUUAAAAUCAAUCCAAGAAAAAAAUUAUUCGAAGAUUAUAAGGAUUAUGCUAUUUCACAAGUGAUGAGUAAAUUUGUAAANNNNNNNNNNNNNNNNNNNNNNNNNNNNNNNNNNNNNNNNNNNNNNNNNNNNNNNNNNNNNNNNNNNNNNNNNNNNNNNNNNNNNNNNNNNNNNNNNNNNNNNNNNNNNNNNNNNNNNNNNNNNNNNNNNNNNNNNNNNNNNNNNNNNNNNNNNNNNNNNNNNNNNNNNNNNNNNNNNNNNNNNNNNNNNNNNNNNNNNNNNNNNNNNNNNNNNNNNNNNNNNNNNNNNNNNNNNNNNNNNNNNNNNNNNNNNNNNNNNNNNNNNNNNNNNNNNNNNNNNNNNNNNNNNNNNNNNNNNNNNNNNNNNNNNNNNNNNNNNNNNNNNNNNNNNNNNNNNNNNNNNNNNNNNNNNNNNNNNNNNNNNNNNNNNNNNNNNNNNNNNNNNNNNNNNNNNNNNNNNNNNNNNNNNNNNNNNNNNNNNNNNNNNNNNNNNNNNNNNNNNNNNNNNNNNNNNNNNNNNNNNNNNNNNNNNNNNNNNNNNNNNNNNNNNNNNNNNNNNNNNNNNNNNNNNNNNNNNNNNNNNNNNNNNNNNNNNNNNNNNNNNNNNNNNNNNNNNNNNNNNNNNNNNNNNNNNNNNNNNNNNNNNNNNNNNNNNNNNNNNNNNNNNNNNNNNNNNNNNNNNNNNNNNNNNNNNNNNNNNNNNNNNNNNNNNNNNNNNNNNNNNNNNNNNNNNNNNNNNNNNNNNNNNNNNNNNNNNNNNNNNNNNNNNNNNNNNNNNNNNNNNNNNNNNNNNNNNNNNNNNNNNNNNNNNNNNNNNNNNNNNNNNNNNNNNNNNNNNNNNNNNNNNNNNNNNNNNNNNNNNNNNNNNNNNNNNNNNNNNNNNNNNNNNNNNNNNNNNNNNNNNNNNNNNNNCGGGCCGAGCGUUAAUACCCGAUAUUUAUGGACUAGUACCAUACAAGGUACCAUAUAACCAUGAUAGUAUGAUAUAUAUAAGGGAAUUAAAAAUAAGUAGAAUUUUAAGUAAUUUGAGAUAAUUCUUAAUUAUGCGGGUAAUUGGUUAAUUACCGGGUACCGGGACAUUACCUAAUUAAUUGGCGAUAUAUUAGAUAUAUAACAAGUAUGAGAUGGAAGCCCCUCUUUUAAUUUAAAAUGACUCAUAAGUUAUUACUAAAAAGUGGCAUGAAAAUUGGAAAGGUGUCACACCUAAGGUGACACCAAUCUUCCAAUGACGGACUCACAUACACUAAAGAUAACAAUUUCCAAAAAUUAGAAUUCAUUUACUACACUUCUUCUAAAAGAUUCCAUGAAAUAUUAGGAAAAUUAUGUCUCAAACUUAAUAGUCCAGCAAGAUGUUCUUACAUAGAAAUCACGUUCAAACAUUCUAAUAUGCAAAUGCAUAUUAUAUAACAUAUAAGCUGCGCCCAAGCUUUCAAAUUAAAGUGAGAUUUUGCAAUAUUAAUGGAGUACGGUGUAAUCAUUCUCAAGAGAAUCGACUCGGGUAUGUUAAGAAUAUCCAUUCUUUCUUUUGGCAUGAUCCAUACGAUACAAACAAAAUGAGAAAAUGCACAACUUUCACAAAUAACUCUAUUCAUAGAAGUAUUAGAAAUGCCUACGUUCUUGAAUUCCCAUGUAUCCUAUUAUUUUAUCCUCUGUUCAUGGGUCUCAGAAAAAUACGUAAGUUGAAAAAGUUUACUUCAUGAUAUUACUCAAAGACAUAAUGGUCUUAUGACAUUCCGAAAGAUUUUAUUAACGUACUUCUCAUGCAUUGCAUUCAUGUACAUUGACCCAUGACAAGAUGGCGUUAUAUACACGUAUAUAUGUAUAUUAUAUGUAUAUGAGAUAUAGGAAAAGGUUACGGCAUUAUAUACGCACCAUCACCUGAUCCGCUGGUAUACGUUGAUGAUUUUGCCCAUAGUGGCCGAGAUGAUAUGGUGGGAUGCCCUUAGAGGCUGAUGAUGUUAUGAAACAUGCACCUAUGCACGACAUGACAUUCAUACGCAUAUGCAUGAUACUAUAAGCAUUUCAUGAUUUACAAAGUUUUCCAAACUUAUAGGUUGACUUAUUUACUCUAUAUUUCUUCAAUAUUUAUUAUGUACUUAUUUAUGUGCCUUACAUACUCGGUACAUUAUUCGUAAUGACAUCCCUUUUACCUGGGGACACUGUGUUUCAUGCCCGCAGGUCCCGAUAGACAGGUCGAGAGCCCUCCAAGUAGGCUAUCAGCUCAGCGAAAGAUGUUGGUGCGCUCUAUUUGCUUCAGAGUUACUUGUUUGGUUAGUAUAAUUUAGAUGUGUAUUGUUUGGUAUGGAGGGACUCUGUCCCGACCUUUAUGAAGAUUAUGUAUUCUUAGAGGCUUGUAGACAGAUGUCAUAUACGUAAAACAUUGUAUGGCCUUGUCGACCUAUGUUUAGUAUACGAGUGGUUAUUUUGGCCUUAUAGGCCCGUAUGUCUUAUGUAUAAAUUUGUAUCACAUGUUGUAUUCUACUUAACUCAUGGCAGCCUUCUGGCUCAGUUAUCUCCGAUAGUAUGACAUGAAAAGAUACGUUAUAUUGGUACUCGAUUGGAUGAGGUAUUGGGUGCUCGUCGUGGCCCAUCGGUUUGGGUCGUGACACGUCUACUCACUUUAAGACUGCAGUAUAUUCUGUUUUUGUGCUCAUUUAUACAUCCUGCCUAUAUGAUCCUAAAAUCAUUUAAAAUUUCUUGUUUGAACAGCGUGCAUUUGUUUGUCUAUUUGUGGAUGUUAACAUGAGCCCACUUAAUUGCUUCUUGUGUGAUAGUCCUACUUGGCUUUUGCUUGUCCCUUAGUUUUCUCCUUUUAAACAACAUAGGUGAGUUUAGAACCGCCUUAAAUAAAGGCCCUAAACACCUCCAGGGCCAAAGGUAAGGGACGGGUAGUGCAUGCAUAGUGUAUGUACUGGAUGUUAUUUGAACGCUUAGGUAAUAAUUAAAAAGGGGAGGGUAAUUGGGUAGUAAAAGGAAAUAAUGACUUGUGUGCUAAUGUUAUGUGUAGCACUCCAACUUGGGGAUAAUUGCCAAGUAUUGCACAGAAGUGAUCCUAUAGGCUAUUAAAACCUAGGACCCCCUUUUAUUCCUUGUUUUAAAAGUAAUAUCUGUUUGUUUAAAUUGCUUUAUUUCCUUGUAAGGCUAAUUCGCUUAAAUUGAGUUUAGCCGGAACCCACCGUUGUGGACCUCGAGGGGUGACUAACACCUUACCUUCAAGGUAAUUUCGUACCCUUACCCAAUCUCUGGUAGCGUGAACUGGUUUCACGAUUUAAUUGUUCUAGGUACCCUGACGCACCUUUUUGUUUUUUGGCAAUCCGCUAGGCAAGCGCCUAGGGCUAGUUUUUAUUAAUAAAAGAAAAGAAAAAUACAACAAUUAGGAAGUGUACAAAUAAGGGGGACAAUAGCAUCGGUUUUGUUACCCAUAUGCCUUGGCUAUAUAAUCACUCCUCUGCGCCUCACAUUGCCUUAUGAUGGCAGCCUCAUAUAGAGGAUUCAUGGGGUAGCUGCCGGCAAAGUCUCACGAGGGCAUAUAAUCUCAUAGCCGUGUGGAUAAUUUCCAAAGGCAUAGGACCAAGGUAACACAAACCGGGCUAAACCUUACCAUACUAUUCCUAUUGAGGCUUUAAAUAGUCUNNNNNNNNNNNNNNNNNNNNNNNNNNNNNNNNNNNNNNNNNNNNNNNNNNNNNNNNNNNNNNNNNNNNNNNNNNNNNNNNNNNNNNNNNNNNNNNNNNNNNNNNNNNNNNNNNNNNNNNNNNNNNNNNNNNNNNNNNNNNNNNNNNNNNNNNNNNNNNNNNNNNNNNNNNNNNNNNNNNNNNNNNNNNNNNNNNNNNNNNNNNNNNNNNNNNNNNNNNNNNNNNNNNNNNNNNNNNNNNNNNNNNNNNNNNNNNNNNNNNNNNNNNNNNNNNNNNNNNNNNNNNNNNNNNNNNNNNNNNNNNNNNNNNNNNNNNNNNNNNNNNNNNNNNNNNNNNNNNNNNNNNNNNNNNNNNNNNNNNNNNNNNNNNNNNNNNNNNNNNNNNNNNNNNNNNNNNNNNNNNNNNNNNNNNNNNNNNNNNNNNNNNNNNNNNNNNNNNNNNNNNNNNNNNNNNNNNNNNNNNNNNNNNNNNNNNNNNNNNNNNNNNNNNNNNNNNNNNNNNNNNNNNNNNNNNNNNNNNNNNNNNNNNNNNNNNNNNNNNNNNNNNNNNNNNNUUUUUCAUCACAAUCCCAAUUCUUCAGAAUAUAUUCAAGAUUUAUGAUUUCUUUUUUGAACGAUUGGACUUUGUAGAUGUAGUUGGGGCGGCCUUCUUUUGUUUGGCAACUCUCAUUAGAGGUCACCUAACAUUUAAAAAAUCACUAACCCUGUCGUCCCAAUUAUAUUUCCUUGUAUGAGUCUUCUUACCUUUGCCGCUAUGCAUUGGUGAUAGAUCCCCUUUUCUUGCUGCCUCUUCUCUACACUGUUGUAACAUUGCUUCUUCCUCUCCGUCUUCAUACAAGUCUCUCCCUAGGUGCACUGGUUUUAGAACAUUUUGGUCGAUAACAAUUGUCUCCAAUGCAGAUUGACCUUGUGUAUUAGUCACCAUUGUCUUGAUUUGAUGAUGUUCUAUUUUUUCAAUUUGUUCCUGCUCUUACUCAACAUUCCAGUGCUAGAAGCAGUAGGAUUACAGGAUUAGAACUCACCAUUGUAUCCAAGAGUCUUCUUUCCUCCUCUGAAAUAUCUGGGAUGGUUGUAACAAUUUGGUUCUUUCCAUAAUUUGUUGUUGUGACUUCUCAAUCACCUAGAUGAGUAGCAGCUGGAAUAACCUACCUUGUAGGUGUUAUUGCAUGAAGAUUUGUUGUCACAAUUUAGAUCUGCCCAGAUUUUGAUGUUGUUAUUUUUGUUCGCUCACCAGUAGGAGUAACAUUUGAAGUGUUGGGAUUAACUUGUUGCUGCUGCACAGUAGAUGUAGGUGUUCCAACUACUGUAUUUUGAAUAGCUGGAGAUGAAGGAUUUCUUGGAAUGAAAGCAGGAGCAUUAGAGUUCAAAUUGCUCAUUGGACUUGCUGCUGGCACUCGUUCAGAUUUUAUCAUCACUAAGGAAUCAAUCUCCUCACCUGUACUAUCAUGAUUAGCCUCACGAUCAACUUCUUCUGAUGAAUAACCAGCAAAACCAUCUCCCCAAUCCUCUUCAUCAUCAUCCUCCCGUUGAUCUAGCCAAAAUUUGGACUUGAUAGCCAUCAACCUCAAAUUUCCUUGUGUAACAUCAUUGUUAUUCCAUGUUGAUAACAUAAGUUGCCCAGUUUCACCUUCAACCUCUCCACAAGAUUCCAUUGAUUGCGAAGGAACCUCAAAAACAUAUUUGUUUAAGGUGACCAAAGGUUGUUUGGCCAUAGGAUUGUUCAUUAUCAUUUCUUUUUGAACAUCUUUAAUGAUUUGUUCAACCUGUGGAAUGGAAAAGUGCAAUGUAGGUGCAUUGGAUCUGUGUGCCUCUGCAUUUUGCGCAUCAACUGGAACAAUGUCCUUCGAAGUAAUGAGUCGUUCACCUGUGUUCUUGGACUUUUGCUGUUGUGUGUUACUGCCUCGAGCUUGUGGCUGCCCAUAUUUUGGAGUUGUGUUGAUCAUCAUAGCUGCAUGGGCAUUCUCUACCAUUUUAUCUAGCUCUGUAUUGGAAAUAUGCAUUGUUGUUGUAGGAUCAUCAGGUACUUGACUUUCCUCACCAAAGUGAUUUUUAUCUGUUGCAAUCCCAAGUCGAGCAGCUAAGUCCUUUACAUUUUUCUGCUGAAUUACAUUGCAUGUAACUCUUGUUUUUCCACCAACUGAUUGUGUCUCAUCCUCCCUAUGUUGCUCCUUAUUUUUAGCCUCAUUCACAUCAUGCUCACCCUCAUUGACCAAUGCAUCAAAAGAGUUCAAGACUCCAAUAAUUGUUGAUGGAUGAAUAUGAUUUUGAAUAACUGGAGUUUGCUUCUUUAUAGGUGAUUUACGCACCACUGUCCAAUUACUGCUCUUUGUAUCAGAUUUGUGUGGUGAAGUAGCAACAACAUCUGCCUUCAAAUGCCCAGAUGUUUCAAUCUUUGGAUCAACAGUGAAUUGCAAAAUGCCAGCUGAUUUUGCCAUAAACUCCAGCUGAGAUGUCGUAGCAUUUGUCCAUUCCAAAGCCUCAACAGUUUCAUGUUCAUAUCCUUCUCCAUUUAAAGUAGCAGCUUUGUCACCUGCUACUUUACAAAAUUGUUCAGUUGUAGCAUUUAUAGGUCGACAACCUCCAGAUGUCCCCACUUCUUGUUGUAUCAAAUUGUUGACAUCAUUUGCAUUCACCAUAGCAUUGUUGUGUAAAGUUGACUCCACAGCCUGUGUACUUCUCGCUACAGCAGGAGAAAUAUCAUCUGUAAUCUUUGUUGUAGCUCGAUUGGUAGGAACUGUGGCAUGAUUCUUGGAAUUAGCUGCUCGAUUUACUACUGUCCAGACUGCACCCAUCGAUUGUUGCACAGUUUGAGCACUAGUUUUUACAACAUCACCAUUAAUCAAUGUAACUGCUGGUUUUUCAACUGUAGUAACUCGAUCACAAUUUUUAUUCAAUGCAACUGUACCAUCCAAAUUCGAAACAAAAGAAACUUGUUCUGUCAGUUUCUGUAUAAUAAUUUGCUCAUGUCCUUUAGAUAAUUGAUGCCCAGCUUCAGCAUAUUUUUGCCCAGUAUGUGGACCCUCAUGAACACCAAUUGGACCGCGAUCAAAAUCAGGACUUGUAGCUGCAAUCUCUUCACACUCCAAUGCAUCAAUAGCUCCUGCGACUGUCGCUAUAUCACUGACAAUCCCUCGAUUUUUCGACACCCUAUUUCUUGCUUCAUCAGCCAUGGCUUGAGACAUCCUAGCUAAGGCACGAUCAACAGGGACAGUAGCCAAAUUCUUUGAGGUCCCUGGCUUGUUGGGAUCAUCGUGGAUAUUAGAAUCAGCUAAAACUGCUUUUGAUCCAUCUAUUCUUGCUGCCUCAAUUAUACCAUGCAGUUGUCUCUUUUCAUUGAGCAUCUGUCUCAAAUCUCCUUGAAAUUUUUCCACAAUCGUGGGAUCAUCAGCUUCCUCGAUAUCACCAUUCAAUCCACUAUCCCGAUUAUUUGUCGAGAUCAAACGACAUGUAUCUACAUCAUGACCUUGACGCUUGCAACAAGUGCAAUACAGGGGAAGAUUAUCAUAAACAAAUUUCUGAAGAUGCUCGAUCACCAUACCAGAUUUUUCAUCCACAAAUUUGAUCCUCAAAAUCUGUGGCAGCUUACCUAGAAGAUCAAGCUCGACCUUGACCGUAGUUGUGCUAGGUCGUGACUUCUCUUGUGUUGCUUUAUCUAUUGCCAAAGGUUUACCUGCUGCUGAAGCUAUAGAAAGCAAGGAUAGUUUUGCAAAUAACAUAGGAGGCAAGUUAGGAAACGAUAUCCACACAGAAGCUUUGGAGGUCUCCUCUUUAUGAUUGAAAGUAAUAGUCCAUGGAAAAAUUCGCAUCUGUAAUUCUUGUCCAUUAGCUACUAAGUAAUUAACAGAUUUUGCAGCAGCAAGAACAUAAUCAUCAUGUCUAUCAAACCUGAUCAAAACAUGUCUUCUUGCAAGCCAUCCGACGAGGCAACGACCUUGAGUUCCAAAAUGUUUAGGCAGCAUCUUUCGAAUAUCUUGUAUAUCAUAUUGAUCUUGUGAGAAUUUAAUCACCAAAGCUUGAUGUAACCCUUCCUCCUUAGCAUAUUGAUGUACUUCCUCCAUUGUAAAUUUAAUCGGAGCUUCACCAUGGACGAACUCCACCUGCUUAAGCUCGAUUUUUGCCGGAACUUGUCCAGAUUUUUUGUUUUCCUAUAUCGAUGCAUAUGUUGAGUUCCUAUCUCCCACAGCCAAAGGCUGGGGAGAGGAUGAUGCAGCCAUGAACUGAUUCAACACUCCGUUGAUGUAGAAGAAACAGAAAAAAUUCAAAGAAGGCCAGAAGCGCACAAAUUUCUGAAAAUAUUCUACUCGCUACAGUAGAUCGCGAAAUAAAAUUUAAGAUCUGGAAAUUUUUUCUAUGGAUUUGAGGAUGAAACCAAUUGGGGAUUGUUCUCUAAGAGAAGGAGGUUCUUUUGAGACCAAUCUUGUGAUCUUACCUUGCCGGAAGCCGGAGUUAUGGCCGAUGAAUAGUGACAGAUUUACUAUUCAUGGUCUUUCUAGAGAGAAGGGAGAGUGCACCCCUAUAACAUUUGCCCUAACGCACCUUAAUCCGUUAGGUGACGACUCUUCAAAUCUCAUACCCAAUUCCCAAAACGAAAGGAGUUGUCCCGAAAUGUCGAAACCUGGACUCUGCGAGGAAGAAGGGGGCACGACCGAUAGUUCAUAGUAAAAUGCUAAGAUUUUCCCUACCUGUUUAACUUGCUUAAUAGUAUUUUUAUUUAGUUUUCUUACUGUUAUCUAUUUUUCCUGAAUUAUUACUUGUUAAUGUUCGGAACCGGGUUGUGUAUGGCUCCAUAUGAUUACUGUUGAUACUUGUCGGUGUGGCUGCUUGUGUUGGCUAAGAUGAGGUUUCUAGACCUGCGAUUUGAGUUAUUGCAUUUGGAUGAGGAAGGUUUAGAGGAUUAACACUACAUUUUGUUGGGAAUUUGGUCAAUGGCCCUGGUCGAGCGAGUGAGUUUCUUGGCUUAUUGAUCAGAUGAGUGGUUAAGCGGUUAUGCAUAUUUCUUUCAUCAUUGGUAGGGUAUGAAGGUUUUGAGCGAGGUUUUAAUCGAUAUGGAGUUUGCUACCGGCGCCGGAUUUGUGUUUGGGCAGUAUUAGUGGUCAUCAGUUCCUACUGUGAGUAUCUGAGUGAUGAGGUAUAUCAUGUGAUUACAUCUUGGGUUAUGAUUAUGACUUGAUACAACUUGUUUAGACUUAUGCAGUGUAUGGAUGUGGGAUUCGGGUCUUGUGAUGAAUUCUGGAUGGUAGAGAUUGGGUUUUGAGGUUUAAGGACCAAGUUGGAAACAAGGAUCUCUAAUGGUGUUGUGUUAGCGGGAUUAAGUGGAGCAGGGUGAUGUGGGAUCACCCCCGGGUUUAUGUUUAGUAAGGUUACACAGUGAUUGGAUGACUUUGGAACAACUCCUGGCACGUUCGAGGACGAACGUGUGUUUAAGUGGUGGAGGAUAUGUUGAUACCCAAUUUUUCUCUUAUAUAUUUUAAAAUGUGCAUACACUUUCAAAAUAUUGUAAAUGCAUUUACAAACAUGCACAAAUAUUUUCUACAAUUUUUCUACAAUUUUUUAAGGCCCUAAAUCCAUUUAUUUCUGCAUUUUUAAGUACAUAAAUAUUCAAAACUAUCCCUUAUAUUAUUUUAUGAUGAUUUAAUCAUCCAAAUUCAUCAUUUAUGUUCAUAUGAGUGUUCACAUAUUUUAAUUAUAUUUUUUAUAAUUACAUUUGCAUUUUUAAGACUAUAAAUGCAUAUUUUGCAAACAUAGCCCCUACAUAUGCAUAACUACGUUAUCUAUACAAAAAAUGACUUUCUAUAUUUUUAUAAUAUUAAGUAAUUAUUUUAAAUCACAUUCAUGCAUGAAAAUCAUUUUUUAUCAUUUAAUUAGCUAUUUUUAAAUUAUUUUAUUUAGUAAAAAUGGGUAUUUAAUAAAUAGCCCCUAAUUUAUACCCAAAAUCGGAUCCCCCCAAUCCUAUUUAAUUAAACCCAAGCCCAAUUCAAAUCAAACCUAGCCUGAUUAAAUCCAACCCGCCCCAACCCAGAACCAAUCGUGACCGUUGAUCCGUAACCAUUUUUAAUCUGAACGACCCCCUAAUCCUAUUUAUUUGUUACCACCCGCCGCCCUUGAAUCGCCGUUUCUUCACCAGUUCUCUCUGAGACCAACCCUACCCCUAGCGCCGCCACCUAAAUUCUCCCCCAAACCCUUCGAUUCUUACCCAUUCCAUGGUAUUCCCCGGUGAUUUGAGGCCCCUACUUGCCUCCUACAUCUUCUUGUUGUUCGAUUUUGUUACUUCGUGAAGGGAUCUCUAAGAGAUCCAACCCAGAUUUUGUUCGAAAUCGUUUAAUAGUCUGCCUACGGUCAUCUCUGUUUGUGAGUACUAUUAUCUUGUGUUUAUGGUUCAAAUAUUUGGUCCAAAAACAAGAUUUUCUUUACCCCACCCUUUUUCUCAAAACUCUAAUCUUUUUAAACGUGAAUCUGUCCAGAUCUUGAGUGAUUCUGAGUUUAUCAGUAGUUUUCUUUUUAAAAUCUCUUAUUUACUUUAUUGUUAAUCGAUUUUAGUAUCUUGUUAUACUAGGGUUUUUGUUUCCUUAUUAUGUGCUGGUCAGAUCUCUAUAGAUCUGAAAAGGUUUUGAGUUUCUAUGCCAUUUUCCUUCUAUUUUUCCUACUGUUGAUCGAUCCUAAAGUUUCCCAGAAUUAGGGUUCCACUUCUUCUUAUUUCUGCAAAAACUUUUCUAAAAAUUUCUAAGUGUUUGAAGUUAGUUAUAUUUACUCCAAUGUUCUAGUCCUUUGUUUGUUCAUUUGUCUCACUAUCUGCUUCAAUUUUUCACAUUAUUGUUUAUCUCUGUCAAUCAAAACAGAUUGACUGAUUUUACUUAGUGUUCGAAUUAUAUUUUCCUCUUAAAAUUAGUAUUUCCCCAUUAUUUUAUUUAUUUUCCUCAUUUAUAACUUUUAAUUGGUACUACUUGCCUUAUUUAGAUUAAUUAGUCCAAUCUAUGGCCUUUAGACUUAUUGCUUACCUUAUUUAACUUCAAUCAUGCCUGCUGACUAAUUUCGUAUGAGAUUCUCCCUAAUUUCAGUGAUAUUAAUUGAUUAGUUUUAGCCCUAAUUGAUUGGUUAAUUGAUUUACAUACUUUAUUUAUGUGCCGUUAAUUUUCCUUGCCUUAUUUGUUUACUCUGCUCUAUACUAUAUAAGUUUCAUUCUUUUCUUUAACACACACGAACAUAGUUCAACACAUAUAGGCAUAGAAAAAAAAGUUCUUGCUCUCUUCCUCUAUCACAAUCUUCUACUCUUUGUUGUUACUUUGUCUAGCCGGCUGGAAGCCAAGGCUAGACCUUUGGACCCUGUUUGUCACUCUUCUAUUUCCAAAUUCUUAACUGGUAUACAUUCACUUUACUAUCAUUCAAACCUCUAUAUGAUUUAACUUGUGUACUUCCUGCUCUCAGCAUGCCUACUUUCAUGUUAUUAAAUCAAUAUGUUCUUUGUUAUCAGCCUGCCUAUUUUUAACUAGACAUAUGUGCUUCAUGCUAAUACUUUUAAUCUGCAUGCCUACUUACAUAUGAUUAGGCCAAGAGGGUUUCUAUUCCUAGCAUGUCAGCAUGCCUACUUCUAUUAAUUAGACCUAUGUGUUUUCCUGCUUUCAACAUGUCUACAUGUCUGCCUCUAUGCCAUUAGACCUAUGUCUACUUGCCCUAUUCUAAGUGCUCAUCCUUAAUAAACUUCUGAAUAAGUCAUGGUGUCUAUGCCCUCAACUCUACUCGCUUUCUGUGUGAUUGUAUGAUCCUAGCAUGAUGUCCUAUGAUUAAUACGACGUAUGUUGGCUUAGUAACAGCUAAGGGAUCAAGACCAUGAGAAACCUUAUUAAACUAAUUGAUCCUAUAUAUUGUUGAUUGGUAGAGUUCAGGGCUAAUCCCCUUCUGUUAAAUUUGGGCCAUAUGGGCCUUUGCUUUGUGACUAUGUUUCUGCUGAGACCCUUUAUUUCAGAAUGCUUCUAACUGUUUUAAUAAUCCUGAACUAUUUUCACUCCUGAACUGUUUUACUUCUGGACUGUUUUACUUUUGAACUACUUUUAUAAAACUAUUUCUAAACUUUCAAGCACUACCUUUCACUCCUACUCUUUGAAUAUCUAGGAUCUGGCCCUUCCAGUGUGAGCACUACUUAGGAGUCCAUGAGGCUCCUCUGAACUCUGACACACUGGGGCUGGACCUUCCACACUGCACAAAAACUACUUCUCUUUAAAAGGAUCUUGGUGUGAGCAUUGCCUGGGGUCAUUUAGGCCCUUGGAAACUUUGACAUACUAGGAUACCCUCUCUUGGGCACUAUGAGAUAUGGUACUUUGGACUUUUUCAAGGCCUGGUUUUUUCAUGUUUACUUUGGGCCUAUCCAUGCUCCCUAUAGCAUGAUAUAAUUUAUUUCUAUAAUUCAUGUAUGGUUUGUAAUAAUUUCUUUGCAAACAAAUAUUGGGGAUAUUAGUAAAAUUGGGAGGGGUUCUUAUACAUAUCUUGUUGGGAAAGGGUAGAUAUCAUGUCUAUAGGUUAUUGCAAUGUUUGUUUAUUUAGAUACCAUGUCUAUAAGUUUGAAUCAGUUUCUACGCCUAGAGAGCAUGUCUAUAGGAUUUUAAAACCAAUUUCUGUAUUUAGAUACCAUGUCUAUAGGGUUUUAAACCAAUUUCUGCAUUUAGAUACCAUGUCUAUAAGGUUUUAAAACCAAUUUAUGCAUUUAGAUACCAUGUCUAUAGGGUUUUAAACCAAUCUCUGCAUUUAGAUACCAUGUCUAUAAGGUUUCAAACCAAUUUCUACAUUUAGAUGCCAUGUCUAUAAGGUGUAAAUCAGUUCUCGCUUCUAGAUACCAUGUCUAUAAGCUUAAAACCAGUUUCUACACCUAGAAGACAUGCCUAUAGAACUUAACUGCUUGCUUAAAAUUGUUAACUGCGGUUCUGAUUAACGAUUAGAUAUUAUGUUCAUAAGACAUCUCUGAUCUACACCUAGGCAAGCUUGUAGGUCGAUUAAAAUCUGGAAAUUGUAAAACCGUACUUUUGUUUAAUUAUUUGUGGAUUGCCUAGAUUAAGCAAGCCCUAAAAUCAGUAGGCAAACUAAUUAGGUCUCUAUUGACUCGCUGCACAUAUUCUGUUUGUCAUGUUUACCUAGAUAUCCUGCUCUAGGAUCUUUUGAAAUAUCUGAAAUCUUGUUGUUUGAGAGGUGCUAUUGUCUGCUUGUGUGAGAAGGUAAAAGUGAACCUUUAAUUGUCCCUUUAUGUAAAUGUCCUACUUGUUUUUGCUCGUCGCUUAGAUUUUCUCCUUUUAAGCACUUUAGGAGAGUCUAGAAUUACCUUAAUUAGAAGUCCUAAAUAAGGACCAUAAGUAAAGGGACAUGUAGUGCACACAUAGGAUACGUACUUGAUGUUGCGAGAAUGCUUUAGGUAAUAACUAAGGGGAGGGUAACUGGGUAGUAAUGGAUAUGAUGACUUGUGCAUAAUGCUAUGUGUAACACCCCAACUUGGGGACAAUUACCAAGCAUUCUAUAGAAGUGAUCCUAUAGGCUAAAAAACCUAGGACCCCCUUUACUCCUUAUUUUCAAAUGUAAUAUCCAUUUGUCUAAAGUGCUUUACUUGUUUAUAAGACUAAUUCGCCUAAUUCGAGUUUGGCCUGGACCCACCAUUGUGGACCUCGAGGGGUGCCUAACACCUUUCCCUUAACAUUAUUUUGAGCCCUUACCCAAUCUCUAGUAAUGCAAAUCGGUUUUAUGAGUUAUUUGUUUUAGGUACCCUAACGUACCUUAAAUCCAUUAGGUGGCGACUCUUCAAAUUCCAUACCCAAUUCCCAAAAGGAAAUGAGUUGUUCCCAGUGAGAUGUCGAAACCCGGACUCCGCGAGAAAAGGGGGCGGGACAGCAUGGCGACUUUGCUGGGGAUAUUUUAGGCUCUUACUAUAACGAACUUGUUUUUGUGAAUUAGUCUUAAGCAUGCUUUAAAUAUCUGUUCACACUUCCCCCUUCCCUUUUAUUUGAAUUUAGUUGCCUAUUUCUAAAGCAUUCAUAAUUUCCUUUAUUUCCUGAAACUGAAUAUCUCCUUGUUUUCUUAACUGUCUUUCAAUUAUUUAAAUAUUGCAUUUAUCUUUUUUUUAACGUGAAAAUACUUGACAACAUGCUAUUUAUUGUUGCAUAAAUCAUGCUCAACAUCAUAUUCCACUCGUGUGUAAUCAAUCCUAUAGCAACGCUUGAUAAGUGUUUGCAUUUUUCCUAUAUAUAUCACCCACUAAAUGUGGAAAGGCGUAUUUGCAGUAAAACUAGUCGAUCAACGGUGCAAUCGAUGGUUCCGUGCCUUUCCUUCUCAAGUUGUCCGCUUGAGGGUCCCAGUCUAGACCUCUAUAGCAACCUUACUCUAAUUAAUUAUGCAUGUAUCAUGGUCAAACCUAGCCGGGAUAAUAUGUUGUCCACAUAAUAACUUGUUAAGACAAGCCUCAUCCAAAAGUCCAUCGGGUUUUCCAUAAUUUCAACGGACGCAACCACGACUUUAUGCAUUAAUUUUGGAGAAAUAAGUGCCAAUAUGCUAAUCAUUGUUGUAUAGAUAGACGAACCUGGAGGGGGAUAGGGCCUAACUAUCUUUUGUUUUGUAGAGAAUGAUGCACGAAAUCCCCAGGUUCGGCAUGGUCAGUAACAUACCAUCACCAUUGCUAGAUUGGUGGAGGGAUCUUCCGUCAAGUGACCAAAAUCAUGUGAAAAGGGUCUUAGAAAAUUUGCCUUACUUAUUUGAUCUUCAGCCGAACAAAAUUUUGAUUGAGGCUGCUACAAUGUUCUAGGACAAAGAAAGGGUUGUGUUCCGCUUUGGAGACAUAGAAAUGACCUCUCUCUUGGAAGAAAUAGGGGGAUUCGCUGGGCUGCCUUAGGAUAGCCCUGGUUUAUUGGCACCUGAAAAUCGCACCACUAAGGGAUUUCUUAAGAUGAAGCGUUUAAAGAAGAAUGAUGACUUAGAGUGCCUGAAGAACUCCUACAUACCCUUCGACUUCCUCUAUGAAUGAUACAGUCACAACAGGUCUUACCGUAUUUUCGAUGAUGAAUUCUCCAUCACCUCCUUGGAGUGGAUUCACCGCAGGGCCUUUGUGUUCAUCGUGUGUUUCUUGGGCAUGCUAUUGUUCCCGAUCCAAGGGGACAAAAUCCAUACCAGACAGGACAUGGUGGCAAAAACUUUGAUGGAAGGGAUCGAGGGGCAGACAUAUACCAUUGUCCCUAUGAUCAUUGCAGAUAUAUACUGGGCCAGAAAGGGUACAGAUACUUCGAGGGUUGCAAAUUGCUGUUGCAGGUUUGGUUGUUAGUACAUCUCCAAAGAGGUCAAUACCGCCAAGAGUUUUCACAAAGACCGUGGAAUGAUCGCAUAGCUUUGCAUCACCCUAAGAAGAUGACCUAUAUCCUAGACAGGUUUGCUCAACCAGGAAAUGUUGUAGAAUGGGUGAAAUUUUUUAACAAUUUGACUGAGGAUCAGGUUCAAUGGAUGUUCGAGUGGUUCCCUACUGAUGAGUUCAUCAUCAGAUCCAGGGAUGUUCCCCAUUUGGUACUAAUCGGGUUGAGGGGCAUAUACCCUUAUGCUCCCCUCAGGGUUAUGAAAUAGGUAGGCAGGAAGCAGUUCAUACCACAAGUCGCUAAAAUGAGUCACUUCAUAGCUGAUUUUCAAGUUGACGCCAUUCCAUACAAAAAUGAAGCACAACACAUGUGGCACUUAAAGGUUAUCAUGGAAAAGGAUACCAUCGAGCCGUAUCGAUAUAAUGCUGGUCAUGCAUACUUCUACCCCUCAUGGUUGAAUGAUUACAUAUGGGGAUAUUCAAGCCAAGGGUUGGUCCAGGAAACAGGGUCAUAGACGAAGUUGCUGAAGCACAGGUGAAGUAUAACAAACUGCGCAAAAGGGUUCACGAGUAUGAAGCCGAGCAUAUGGAGCAACAUAAGGACGAUAUGGAAAUGAUCAAGGAGUGGAAAGAAAGGGUUGUUAAAUCCAAUGAAAGGCUGGAAUAUCUGGAGUACAAUCUAAUGGAAUUAGAGGGAAAAAUGAGAAAGAGAGUCACUGAUUGCCUGAACGCUAAGGCAAAUGAAGGAGGACAUUUGGCAAUGGCAUUAUUACUGCUGAACCUGCGCGAACUGGGGGAUCUGAUCGACAAGAGCAUGUAGCCUGAAGAAGGUCCUUCUGGGACCAAGUAGAUUAGGUUUACUUGCUUUUCAAAUGUAAUAAGGCCAAGUGGAAUUAGUGAGUUAUCUUAUUUCGUGUCAUUUUGGGUCAUCUAUCUUUACAUUAAUGAAAUGAGGCAAUUAUUGGCACUGAAUUUCUCCAAAUAUAUUUGUCGCUAGGCCUACCUCGGGCACAACGAGGCUCCCAAGAUAGCACCCAAAUUUAUAUUGCUGCAAUAUGUGUUUAAAUACCGCAAAGGUUUCAAAAUCCUUACUAACUUGUUUACCUUUGUUUUUCUUUAUUCUUUAUUAUUCCCAUCCACUAGGGUUGGUUCGCACAUACUGGCAUCAUUAGCAUAUCACACCAGAUCUAGAGGCCCUCCACCUCCUCCUCCUCCAAGUAAUACGAAAAGCAGAGGGAAAACUAAGAUGGAUGACUUAAGUGGUAUUCGAAAGGAAAAUGGUAAGAAUGCGGAAACUUCAGACGGUCGAAGUACUCCGGCACCAAGUGACUUGGUUUUGCGGUUGGAACAAAAGAUACUGGAGUUACAGGGAGAACUUGAGCAGGUCCCCAACUUAGAAAACUUCCCCCUCACCUUGAACAUCCCGACAUCAACCAACAAAAUACCAAAAACCCAGCACCUCCCCAAAAUACACCAAACCAUCAUCCACAAAACAACCCUGCACCAUAUCAAUAUGCAACUCCACCUCAAAAUCCCAAUCAUUUACCGAUACCAACUCCUCCACAACAUUAUCAUCAACCAACCCAGUACCCACAACCCACUACCUAUCAAACCCCUCAGAAUAAUCCACAACCCAUUCUCGAUCCUCAAAACUCAACCAACGACCACCACUACACCCAAAUCCCUGGCACUCACCAAAACAACCCCAUAUACGUGGAAAUCGUACCUCACUCCACUCAACCAAUCUCCUAUGCACCAGAAUCCGCUGAGAAGGCCCUGCUCAUAAAGAACAUGGCUAAGGAACUCAAGAAAUUGACAAGUCGAGUUCAGGGUGUCGAAAGAGGUAAAGGGAUAGAAGGUCUAAAUUGUGAGGAUCUGUGCAUACAACUAGACGUAGAACUGUCGGAGGGUUACAAACCUCCCAAGUUCGAAAUGUUUGACAGAACAGGUGAACCCAAGGUUCAUUUGAGAACUUAUUGUGACAAGAUCGUGGGGGUCAGAAAAGAUGAAAGGAUCCAAAUAAAGCUCUUCAUGAGGAGUCUUACCGGAGAUGCCUUGUCCUGGUACAUAAGCCAGAACCCUAAGAAGUGGGACAAUUUGGUGAGCAUGGCAUCAGAAUUUAUGGACCAGUUUAGGUUCAAUACAGAGAAUGCACUAGAUGUCUUCUACAUUUAGAACUUAAAGAAGAAGUCAACUGAGACUUUCCGCGAGUAUGCUACUUAGUGGAGUUCGUAAGUAGCCAAGGUCAGACCAUCACUAGAAGAAGAACAAAUGAACAAGUUCUUUGUCAGGGCAUAUGACCCACAGUAUUAUGAAAUGCUAAUAGUCAUUGAGAAUCACAAGUUCUCUGAUAUCAUCAAACUCGGAGAAAGGAUUGAAAAGGUAACAAAAGAGGGAUGGUGACAAACUUUGAGGCACUAUAGGCCACAAACAAAGUAUUACAAUCAGGUGGCAUAUAAAAAAAGAAAGAAGUGGGGGCAGUAAUGGUAGCCCAAGGCCCAAAAUCUCCGCUCACAUACCAAUCACCUCCACCCACAUACCAAACACCUCUACCCACAUACUAACCCUCAUCUCCUAGAUAUACUCAACUCGCCACCACCUAUCUCCCUUAUAACACCAAGCCAGCCUACUAUCAUUCACCUCCAACUCGUCCGAAUUACUAGAAACCCCGACCUAACUUUGAUCGCAAACCACAAUACACCAUUAUUGUUGAACCCAUCGACUAGCUGUACGAAAGGUUGAAGGCCGCUGGUUAUGUCACUCCUAUUCCUACUGUGGCAAUGGAGAAUUCAUCUUAAUGGGUUAACCCAAACAAGACAUUUGCAUACCAUUCUGGUAUAAAGGGGCACACCAUUGACGAGUGCCGAACAUUGAAAGAUAAAAUAUAGAUAUUGAUUAAUAACAAGGUCAUACAUGCAAAGGAGCCCAACGUCUGCAACAAUCCUCUCCCGGAUCAUCGGGGUAAUGGGGUCCAUGUGAUAGAGAUGGAUGAAGAAUGGGAUCCUAAGGGGUCAAUCGGGCUUAUUCGGGAAGGCGAUGACUUCAAACCCGCAAUCACACUCACUCCUAUUGUGAUACAGAUACAGCCAUCAGUUGAAGUUGAGGUAACUGCAUCGGUUCCAUUUGAGGUAGAGGUAGCUCUCCCUGCAGCCACACCUAUUCCAUUUGAGGUAGAAGUGGCCACACCUUUCAUAGUGACAGUAGCAACAACACCUCAUUUCAACUCCAAUGCCAUACCUUGGGAUUACGUUGCCGAAGCUAGGCGAAAAGGAAAAGCAAAAAUGGAAGAAUAGGAUGUCGCACAAGGAAUGACCAGAACGGGAAGGGUCUAUACACCCGAACAUUUGGGAGGAUCGAGCAAGGAGGUUUCUACUAUGAAACUUGUCAUUGAAACUGGACCAGAUGAUCUUUGGAGGAAAGUAUAGGAAAGGGAAUACUCCGUUGUCGAUCAUUUAAACAAAACCCCCGCCUAGAUCUCCAUCCUGUCACUAUUACAAAAUUCGGAGGCGCACAAGAAUGCUUUGAUGAAUGUGCUAAAUAAGGAUUAUGUGCCUAGCAAUAUCACAUGCGGAGAAAUGUCCAACAUAGUAGGGCAAGUGCUGGAGAGUCAUAAGAUCACCUUCCACGAGGAUGAAUUACCGCCUGAAGGGUUAAGUAAUAACCGGGCAUUGCAUAUCACAGUAAAAUUUGACGACAAAUUCAUUGCUAGGGUCUUAAUAGAUGAGGGUUCAAGCCUCAACAUUUUCCCGUUGACUACUCUGAAAAGAUUGGGCAAAUAUUUCCACGAGAUACGAGUAGGAAGUAUGAACGUGAAAGCCUUUGAUGGAUCUCAAAGGGGCACGAUUGGGGAGAUUAAUCUUUGCCUGCAAAUGGGGCCAACUUGGUUCGAUGUUGAAUUCCAAGUGUUUGGCAUAUCAGCUACAUACAAUAUCCUAUUGGGUCGACCUUGGAUACACGUCGUUGGGGUCGUGGUUUCCACUCUACAUCAAGCUAUGAAGUUUGAAUAGAAUCAUCAGGAGGUAAUCAUUCACGGAGAUGGGAGUAACCCCAUUUACACCAGUCAAACUAUCCCGGUUAUCGAGAAUAGAAGAAGGCUAGGAGGGGAAACGUAUCACCAGAUCAAACAUGUCAAUGCAGUUGAGAAAGACAGAUGGUGGAGUAACAAAAUAGAAAGCAUACUAGCAUGGUAUGGGUAUGAACCCGGCAAAGGGCUUGGGAAGGAACUCUAGGGCAUUACCAAGCCGAUACAGCUGAAAUGUCAUGGCACAACUUUUGGGGUGGGAUGCCUAUACACCUGGCAAGAGUACAAUGAUUGGUCACUGCCAUGGCGUGGUACUUAUUACCCUUUUGAGCAACUAGUGCCACAUCUAGGUCAGACUUUUCACCAAGCCGAUACAAUAUGGGGAACUGCAGAGGAAGAAGCUUUAGUCGGGCUGAGGAAUUUGUUCGUAGAGGACGAGGAUAUGGAUUGCAAUGCAAUAAUUGAGGAGGAGGAGGAAGAAGGCCUCACCAUUUAGACUGUUAGGAAGGGAGCUGUUCUUAAGAAUUGGACUGCCACACCAUCCCGGGCCCGCUGAGUCCCCGGGUAGCUUGUUAUUUAGCCUAAAUUUCUUUCUAUAGAUGGCUAAGCAUUUAAGAUUUUUUCAGUAAUUUUGUUUUAAAGACGCUUUUUGUUUCAAAAUAAUUGCUCGAUUUAUUGAGCUAUACUUGUUUUGGAUAUUUUCAAAUUAAUCAAUACAUUGCUAUUUAUUAUUCAUUAUUAUCAUUCACAUUUUCUUUCUACAAUGUUAUUGUUACUUUUACUGAUGAAACAAUGACGGUGACAUGUAAUGAGACAACGCAAUAUACGGAUAGUGACUCGGAGGAAGAAGAUGAAAUACCUGAGGAAGUUGUCAGAGAAGUCGAGAACUUUGAGAACAAACCUAAGUCCAACCUGGACAAAACUGAAGCAAUAAAUUUGGGAGAUGUCGAGACCAUCAAGGAGACUCGCAUAAGCAUUCACUUAUCACCGUCAGAGAAGGAAGAGUACAUUCGUUUCCUAAAGGAAUAUGAGGAUAUCAUUGCAUGGUUAUAUGAUGACAUGACUGGUUUGAACACAUCCAUAGUGGUUCACAAGUUACCUACCAAUCCAAUGUGUCCGCCAGUAAAGCAGAAACUCAGAAAGUUCAAACCAUACAUGAGCCUAAAAAUCAAGGAGGAAGUCACUAAGCAGAUCAAAGCCAAAGUCCUCAGGGUAGUUGAGUACCCAACCUGGCUAGCCAACAUCGUACCAGUUUCGAAGAAAGAUGGGAAAGUUAGAGUAUGUGUUGACUAUCGAGAUUUAAACAAAGCAAGUCCCAAGGACGACUUUCCACUGCCAAAUAUACACAUCCUAAUUGACAAUUGCGCCAAGCAUGAACUCCAAUACUUUGUAGAUUGCUUCACGGGUUAUCAACAGAUCUAGAUGAAGGAAGAAUAUGCAGAGAAAACAGCUUUCAUCACACCGUGGGGGGGGGGGGGUAUACUACUACAAGAUGAUGCCAUUUGGUCUAAAGAAUGCUGAGGCUACUUAUAUGAGAGCCAUGACAACCAUCUUCCAUGAUAUGAUACACAAGGAAAUAGAGGUGUAUGUUGACGACGUCAUCAUCAAAUCCAAGAGGGUCGCGGAUCACAUAGCGGAUUUGAGAAAGUUCUUUAACAGGUUAAGAAGGUAGAAUCUAAAACUGAACCCCGCAAAAUGUGCAUUCGGGGUUCCCGUAGGGAAGUGUUUGGGAUUCAUUGUCAGCCGUCUAGGAAUCGAGUUGGACCCGUCCNNNNNNNNNNNNNNNNNNNNNNNNNCCUAGGACGUCUCAACAGGAAACGUCUCAAUUAUAUCAGUCGCUUCAUAGCACAGUCCACAGUUAUAUGUGAACCCAUCUUCAAAAUGUUGAGGAAAGAUGCUAAAACGAGUUGGACCGAAGAUUGUCAGAAGUCUUUUGACAAAAUUAAGGAAUACAUGUCCACACCACCAGUCAUAAUCCCGCCAAAACCUGGGAAACCUUUGCAACUCUAUCUGUUCGUAUUGGAUAGAGAUUUCGGAUGUGUUUUGGGGCAACAUGAUGAGAUAGGAAGAAAGGAGCAAGCCAUAUACUACUUGAGAAAGAAAUUCACACCUUAUGAAGCACGAUAUUCUCUGCUGGAACGCACUUGCUGCGCUUUGACGUGGACAACCCAGAAAUUGAGGUAUUACUUCUGUGCCUACACCACAUACCUCACAUCCAGGAUGGACCCUCUGAAGUACAUCUUUUAGAAGCCCAUGCCAACCGGGAAGUUAGCUAAAUGGUAGAUAUUGUUAAGUGAAUUUGACAUCAUCUAUGUAACUUAGAAGGCAGUCAAAGGACAAGCAUUGGCAGACCAUCCUGAUGAGAAAGUAUCAUUCAUAGGAGAGGACAUUUCUAAAGCAUACAACGGUUGGAGAAUGUUCUUCGAUGGAACUACAAACUUCAAAGGAGUGGGCAUUGGAGUGGUUUUGGUAUCAGAAAUAGGUCAACACUACCUUGUAUCCGCGAAGCAUAGAUUUCCAUGUACCAACAACAUGGCAUAAUACGAAGCUUGCAUCAUGGGGCUCAAUCUGGCCAUCGAUAUGAAUAUAUAGGAGCUACUGGUAAUCGGUGAUUCAGAUCUUCCGGUACAUCAAGUUCAAGGGGAAUGGGCCACGAAGAAUACCAAGAUACUAUCAUACUUGCAUCAUGUGCAGGAAUUGAUGAAAAGAUUCACAAAGAUAAAAUUCAAACGUGUACCCAUAAUUCAAAAUGCGUUUGCAGAUGCAUUGGCCACUUUAUUAUCAAUGAUACAACAUCCAGACAAGAAUUUCAUCGAUCCCAUCCCAGUGAGGAUCCAUAAUCAUCUAACUUACUGUGCUCAUGUUGAAGAAGAAACAGAUGAAAACCUUGGUUCCACGACAUCAAAGAAUAUUUGGCAAAAGGAGAAUACCCAAAACAGGCGAACCAUACUCAGAAACGCACAUUGCGGAGGUUGUCCAAUCACUUCUUCCAAAGCGAAGGGACCCUGUAUAGAAGAACUCCUGAUCUGGGGUUGUUAAGAUGUGUUGACGCAAAUGAGGCUUCUAGAUUGCUUGAGGAAACAUACCGAAACUUGUGGACCACAUAUGAAUGGUUUUGUUCUAGCCAAUAAGAUACUCAGAGCUGGAUAUUUCUGGAUGACCAUGGAAACAGAUUGCAUUUGGUACGUACAGAAAUGCCACCAGUGCCAGGUACAUGCAGACAUGAUAAAGGUACCACCAAACGAGCUCAAUGUAACAACUGCAUCUUGGCCUUUUGCUGCCUGGGGAAUGGAUGUCAUCAGUUCGAUCGAGCCCACUGCUUCAAACGGGCAUCGGUUCAUUCUAGUGCCAUUGACUACUUCACAAAAUGGGUAGAGGCUGCAUCCUACAAAGCUGUAACCAAGAAAGUCAUCGUAUAUUUUGUCAAGGAUCAUAUUGUUUGCCGAUUCGGAGUUCUAUGAGUCCAUUAUCACUGAUAACUCCGCCAAUCUCAACAGUGACCUAAUGAAAGACAUGUGUGAAACCUUCAAAAUCAAGCACAAAAACUCUACAGCAUACAUGCCUUAGAUGAAUGGAGUUGGGGAAGAUGCUAAUAAGAACAUCAAGAAGAUACUAAGGAAGAUGGUAGAAAAUCACAAACAAUGGCACAAGAAGCUACCAUUUUCCCUAUUGGGUCACCGCACUACGGUCUGCACAUCAACUAGGGAAACUCCCUACUUACUUGUUUAUGGUACCGAAGUUGUCAUUCCAACCGAGGUAAAAAUUCCUUCUUUAAGGAUCAUACGGGAAGCCGAACUCAGUGAUGCAGAAUGGAUAAGGAGACACUAUGAGCCACUGUCCCUUAUAGACGGUAAAAGAAUGAACAUAGUAUGUCACGACCAGCUUUAUAAGAACAGAAUGUCCAGAGCUUUCAGCAAAAAGGUCAAACCAAGGCAAUUCGCACCGGGACAGUUGGUGCUGAAGAAGAUCUUCCCGUAUCAAGAUGAAGCCAAAGGGAAAUUUACUCCCAAUUGGCAAGGUCCUUACAUGGUUCACCGGGUGCUGACAGAAGGAGCACUCAUACUUGCAAAAAUGAAUGGAGAAGUUUGGCCGAAACCAAUCAAUUCAGACGCAAUCAAGAGAUACUAUGUUUAGAUUGUUUACAUUCCUUCAUCUGAUGUAAUUGAACUACGCUUGACCUAAUUCUCGUUUAAGAGGGGAUACGUAGGUAGCCCUGUGGGUUCGGACAUAUCUUAAUAAAAUCUUCAUUUUCCUCAACACUAGAAACUAGGGCAGAAUUUUGAGGAGGACCCUCAAAAUUCUAGAGCAAGUCCAGCCAAUGCCAUCAUAUGUUAGACAGUUAGAAAUUGGUUACCAAACUGGGGCAGAAUUUUGAGGAGGACUCUCAAAAUUCUAAUACAAGAAAGCUGCAAUGUCUCUAAAAUGUGAUAUAGUCACUAGUUUAUCUAAAAUUACCUGAUAUUUCACUAUGUUUUCUAAAAAAUAACUCCAUUUUUAUCAAUAAAUACAUAUAUUCGAAAACUCUAUUUUCGUAACAGCUAGGCGUUACCCAGGGCAACUCAAACAAGGCCUCCAGGAUGGAGCGAAGCAAAACCAGUAGACGAAGGCACAAACGAACAUCCCCUUACAAAACUUACAAUUUUUCUUUGGAUGCAGGCAUGGUGAACAUAACAGAAGUAUUCGCAAACAUACACAUAUAAAAGUCACUAUCAAUCAAGCCACCAAACACAAAUACAUCUCCAGCUAAGAAAUAUUCCACUCUUAUUUGCUACUUGUUCACUGCAUAAGGCUAAGCAUUGCCUUCUCUUUCAUGAGACUAAGCCUUGUCUCAAAUCUUGCAUGAGGCUAAGCCCUGCCUCCAUGUUUGCAUAAGGCUAAACACUGCCUUCUCUUUGCAUGCGACUAAGCCUUGUCUCAAAUCUUGCAUGAGGCUAAGCCCUGCCUCCGUAUUUGCAUAAGGCCAAGCACAACCUUUUCUUUGCAUGAGCCUAAGCCUUGUCUUAAAUCUUGCAUGAGGAUAAGACCUGCCUCCGUAUUCGCNNNNNNNNNNNNNNNNNNNNNNNNNGCAUAAAUGUUGCUUUAUUCUAAACUUGGCACUAUCUUCUUCCCUCGGGCUAAGCUCUGCCCCCAAACUUCGUGCAAGACUAAGCUUUGUCUUGCUAUCACUCACGGUAUCAUAUCUCUGCACCUCAUGGGCUAACAUAUAGCCAACCUGUCCAAAGGCGUCAUAGUCUGAAGGCAUCAUCCUCAUAGCCUGAGUACACCAUGUUAUGGCCUGAGGAUCCCUCAGACUUGCAUAUCAUUAUUCAAAGGCGUCAUUGUUCAGAGGCACCAUUCUCAUGUCCCGAGAACAUCAUUUCAAGGCCUACGAAUCUCCUAUCUCACAAUUCAUGGCCCAAGACAUCAUGAUCUAAAGACAUCAUCUGCACUGUCCAAAGACAAUCUUUCAUGGUCCAAAGGGAAUUUGCAUCACGUUUAAAUUCCCGUAAUACUCUAUAUACUCGCAUUCAUUGUGUUUUAAGUUUUGCAGGUAAUCCAGGAGGUAACCGUCUUCAAACAGGAGCAACCUUCGCUCCGAUUUCCGCUCAUACCAUUUUGCUUUGCCAUUUUAACCGAUCCACAUUAAUGACCCACCUGACUUUGCAACAUUCAGAUAUCUAACCUAUAAUAUCUUCAUUAUAUUCCAGACUCAUAGUCAUAACUCUAUCCGACAUCACCCUAUACAAAAGAACCUUUUGAUGAAAUUGACUGCCAUUCGUAUAACAACUCCAUCGGCUUCAUUCACCAUUGGGUCCAGAACUACACAUGGCCUGAUUCCUAUAAAACCAGGGAUAUGUAGGCAACUCAGAGACCAAGCUUUAGACUUUAUUUUUUCAAAACACCCAUUCGGUCAAAAUCGGCCAUCAUUUCUUUACCCGAAAACUUUUUCAUCCUUCUCGGGUAAAGAGGGGCAGUUGUUGAUACCCAAUUUUUUUCUCAUAUAUUUUAAAUUGUGCAUACACACUUUCAAAAUAUUUUACAUGCAUUUACAAACAUUCACAAAUACUUUUACAAUUUUUCUACAAUUUUUUAAGGCCCUAAAUCCAUUUAUUUAUGUAUUUUUUAAUUACAUAAAUGUUCAAAAAUAUCCCUCAUAUUAUUUUAUGAUGAUUUAAUCAUACAAAUUAAUCAUUUAUAUUCAUAUGAGUGUUCAAAUAUUUUAAUUGUAUUUUUUAUAAUUAAAUUUGCAUUUUUAAGACUAUAAUUGCAUAUUUUGCAAAAAUAGCCCCUACAUAUGGAUAACUACUUUAUCUAUACAAAAAAUUACUUUUUAUAUUUUUAUAAUAUUAAGUAAUUAUUUUAAAUCAUAUUCAUGCAUGAAAAUAAUUUUUUAUCAUUUAAUUAGCUAUUUUAAGUUAUUUUAUUUAGUAAAAAUGGGUAUUUAACAAAUAGCCCCUAAUCUAUACCCAAAAUCGGAUCCCCCCAAUCCAAUUUAAUUAAACCCAAGCCCAAUUUAAAUCAAAUCUAGCCCAAUUAAAUCCAACCCACCCCACCCCAGAACCAAUCGUGACCGUUGAUCUCUAAGAUCAACGGUCCAUAUCACCCCUUACCAUUUUUAAUCUGACUGACCCCCUAACCCUAUUCAUUUGUUACCACCCUCCACCCUUGAAUCACCCUUUCUUCUCUGGUUCUCUCUGAGACCAACCAUAACCCUAGCGCCGCCACCUAAAUUCUCCCCCAAACCCUUCGACUCUUACCCAUUCCAUGGGAUUCCCUGGUGAUUUGAGGCCCCUACUGGCCUCCUACUUCUUCUGGUUGUUUGAUUUUGUUACUUCAUGAAGGCUCUAAGAGAUCCAACCCAGAUUUUGUUCGAAACCAUUUAAGAGUCUGCCUACGGUCAUCUCCAUUCGUGAGUGUUAUUAUCUUGUGUUUAUGGUUCGAAUCUUUGGUUCAAAAACAAGAUUUUCUUUACCCCACCACUUUUCUCAAAACCCUAACCUUUUGAAACACGAAUCUGUCCAGAUCUUGAGUGAUUCUGAGUUUAUCAGUAGUUUUCUUUUUAAAAUCUCUUAUUUUCUUUAUUGUUAAUCGAUUUUAGUAUCUUGUUAUACUAGGGUUUUUGUUUCCUUAUUAUGUGCUGGUCAGAUCUCUGUAGAUAUGAAAAGGUUUUGAGUUUCUAUGGCAUUUUCCUUUUGUUUUUCCUACUAAUGAUCGAUCCUAAAGUUUCCCCGAACUAGGGUUCCUCUUCUUCUUGUUUCUGCAAAAACUUUUCUAAAAGUUUCUAUGUGUUUGAAGUUGGUUAUCUUUACUCUUAUAUUCUAGUCCUUUGUUUGUUUAUUUGUCUCACUGUCCGCUUCAAUUUUUCCCGUUAUUGUUUAUCUCUGUCAAUCAAAAUAGAUUGAUUGAUUUUACUUAGGGUUAGAAUUAUAUUUUCCUGUUAAAAUUAGUAUUACCCCAUGAUUUUAUUUAUUUUCCUCAUUUAUAACAUUUAAUUGGUACUACUUGCCUUAUUUAGAUUAAUUAGUGCAAUCUAUGGUCUUUAGACUUAUUGCUUACCUUAUUUAACUUCAGUCAUGCCUGCUGACUGAUUUCGUAUGAGAUUUUCCCUAAUUUAAGUAAUAUUAAUUGAUUGGUUAAUUGAUUUGCAUACUUUAUUUAUGUGCCGUUAAUUUUCCUUACCUUAUUUGUUUACACUUCUCAAUACUAUAUAAGUUUCAUUCUUUUAUUUAACACAAACGAACAUAGUUCAACACACACACAGACAUAGAAAAAAAAAA
This 83305-nucleotide long non-coding RNA is filed under the name Nicotiana tabacum (common tobacco). RNAcentral's name for it is "long non-coding RNA (NTAB_LNC007888)". The record is from RNAcentral. Lineage: Eukaryota; Viridiplantae; Streptophyta; Magnoliopsida; Solanales; Solanaceae.